UUUCUUGAUGUUUAUUUCAUGGUUUCUAAGUGAGAAUCAUGCGUAAGGUUGGGUUGUAAAAUCAUGUUUAGCACUAGACAUUAAGUUUGAACAGUUGAGGUCCAUGAAGGUGGAUGUGAUGAUUUCUUGGUUAAUGAUGCUAGUUAUAUGGAAGUGGCCUAAUAGGGCUUGAACGGUGUAUGAAAUGGCUUAAGUUUAAGUUGAUUCGUAAUGAAGUAUGAUGUUGUAUGUAUGAGGUAGAAGUAUGCCCAAGGUGAUAUGGAGUUGCGAUAUUUUCUAAGGCUAUUACAUGUUGUGUGUGGUUAGUAGUACCGUUGAGUUGCUAGGUGGAGAAAGACUAGUUAGAUGGUAUGUGGUGUUCUAACUAGUCAAGUUAAGGAGUUUUGAUUGAUAGUGUUAAGACUUUUUAUAUGAUUUUGAUUCUCAUGGUAGAGAGAUAUAAGUUUGAAGUCGCAAUAUUGGUAGGCUAUGAUGUAAGUAGUAUCAUUCAUCAAAGGCUUAGUGAUAUCUAUGUUAAGUGUUAGAAGCUAAUAUUGAGUUCUUGAAGGUUGAGCUCAUAGAAAUAAGAGUUGAAGAGUUAGAAGGUGUGCACUCCGACUAUGGGGACACUUAUGAAGAUCCAAAGUAAGUAAGUGUUCUAGUAUUAUGUGAUGACUAUUGGGCUAUAGAAUGAUAGAGUGUGUCUCAGAAGGUGGUAUUAGCAGUGGGUUUUUCUACUUCCAGGUGUAGUCAUUCGGGUUAAGUUCUAUUAAUUACGUGUAUUGUCGUAUUCCAGACUCCAGAGUGCAGUGAGUGUAGUUUAGUUUAGAGUCUUGUAAGGGAUCUCUCAAACUUAAGCUGAUGACUUAAAGCUAAAGGGGAGAUGAUAGAACAAGUAACCGAGUCAGGCUCUCAGAUUCUGGUAGUGAUGCCAGUAUGAUAUAAAACAUCAGAAAGUGAGGGUGAGACUCAACCCAUUCUUAUCUUAGUAUUUUUCAGUGAUCCAAAUACCUACUCAUGCCUUAUGAUUCAGUUCCAUGGUCAUAGUUCAUGUUCAUGCAUAUGAUUGAGAGUCAUGUACUGUUCCAGUUCAAAAAUGAGGAGUUCCAGUUUAUUCAGUAGUCGGAAUCACAUUCCAUAUGUUAUGAACUUCAAAUUGAGGUCAUGCAGCUCAUGACUCAUGUACUCACGCUAUAUAGUGUGCUCAGUUCCCAUAAUUUAUGCUAUACUCUUUACGAUUGACGAGAUUCAGCUUAUAGUCAUGUAUGCCCCAAUUCAGAUCACUUUGAUAAAUCCCUAAUGUUGAUUCGCUGUUCCUCAGGUCUCAGUUAAGUGUCGAGUUUUGUAUAGUAUCCUUCCAUACUUCAAAGUCUUAUGUUCUAACCUUUUAGUGACUCCUCCUUAUGUAAUGAUAGUGGUGAUGUGUAAAUAGUUCUUGUUGAUGAAAGAUCAUUGUAUACUUGUUUUGGAUGAGGCCAUAAGUGUGGAGUAAGAUUUGGGGCGAAGUCUUUGAUACAUGUGAUGGUUAGUGGAAAUUUAUGUGUGUAUAUUCUUGGGGUAGCGCAUGGGAGUUAUAUUGACAAUGGUUUAGAGACUAUGUGAAAUAUAUAUUUAAGGGUGUUUGCCUUGAAGUCCAUAUGUGGUUAUAAAGAUAGGCUUGAAUGACAUGUUGGGAUUUAUGUGGAAGAACGUAAUAUGCGCUAGUAAAUCCAUAGUAAGAGUUCAGAGUUAGUCAUUGAACUGGUAAGGCACGUUAUGCUUAGGGUGUGAUCUUUAAAAAAAUAUAGAAGGUUGAAUCAUGUGGUUUAGACUAGUAUCGUAGUGUGGCAUGUUGUAUUUUGUGAUUUAGAAUUAGGAUUGAUCACAGUGAAAGGAUUUAAGCUACUUUAGACAUUAGUAGAAUAAUUUGUCAAUGCUCAUAUGAGAAUUAUAAGUUGAACCAAUGAUUAUGGUAUUCAAGGGGAAUAAUAUAGUUAAGGGAGUAUUCGAGGAGUGUGCUAAGCUUGAAAUUAAGAAGUUGCAUUGCCUAAGUCCUGGAAAUUCUAUCCUAGUUUAUGAGUUAUAUGUCCUUAUUCCAUGCUAGAUAGUAGUGUAAUUGUGAUGAUUCCUUAGUUGGAUGUCUUGUGUAACUCAGGCCUAAGAUUCUUUACUCCCUAAUGCUACUUUAACUUCUUUAGAAAGAGUUUUGAAGAGAUACUCCAGUUAAGCAUAAGUGUCUGGUAUAAUUCAGUUUGUAAUUCAGCUUAACAGUCGGGCAGACAAGUUACUAUAGUUUUUCCACCUUUUCACUCAGUCCUACAAUCCGAAGUCUCAUGCGUAUGGCCAUACCCAAGAGAUGAUCUAUUCCAUCCAUAUAAAUUGUGAAUUCAGUCCAUUCCAAGCAUCAUGUUUCAGAUUCAGCUAUCCAUUCAUGACUCGGUGCAUAAGAGUUCAGCGUAUAAUCUCAAAAUUUCCCAAGUAUUUCAACUCAGAUAGUGUAAUACCCUUGUACGAUCUAAGUCUUUCUGUCUUAUGAUUCGUACUCGCAUAAGUUAUCACUUGCUAAUUUCAAUGUAUAUGAUUGGAUCAUGAAUAUUUCAAGAGAAUCCUAAAUUUUCAGCACGAAUUUGCUUCUUGAAGCAAGAAAAGUCAAGUCAGCUCAGAAUUCAGUUUCAUGAUAGAAGUUUAAAUAGUUCAGAUCAGUUAUGUCCUUUCUUAGAAGGCACAUCAUGUCCGCGUUAUUCCAUACCGUUACGCUUCAACAAGUUUCUACCCAUCAUUCAGGGACGAAUGAUCCCAAGGGAGAGAUAAAGUAACACCCUGAAUUUUGGGCUAGAACGAAAACGUCAUUUCUACGCGUUGAUAUUCCAAAAGCCAUAAAUCCUAUGUAAAUUUUGUAUGUUAAUAUAUUAUGUAGUGUGGGAACCUAUUUGAGCAUGAAUUUAGAUCAUAGAGGUCCCCUAACUCAAGGUCAAGUUGAAAGCUUUCCUAUCGUUCGAGUUUUAGUGAGCAUCGAAACUUGGGUCAACUUUAGUCGACCAUAACUCCUUGUAUAUGACGAACUGGGUGACCUACUAUAUGUCAAAUGAAAUAUCUUCGAAUUAGCUUUCCAAUGAUACUAAUUUCUUCCAAAUUCGAUACCCGAACAAAAAGUUAUGGCCAUUUACGUGACUGAGACAGCAGCAUAGCGCGAUUAGCGUGCGAUGCAUGCACCCAAUUUUCAGGUCCUGUUUUCACGUUUUUUAAGGGAAAAAGUGGUAUUUCCACCCCCUAUUCAGCCAUAACAUGGGAUUAAAUCCCCCAAACACCGAAAUAAGGACAUUCUCUCUCAAAAUCACCAAGAACACUUUUUAGGGUUUCAACCCAAAGAUCAAAAUAUCUUAAGAUUUCACCGUGGGUUUUCAAUAAUUCUUCGAGAUUCGGAAUACCCAUUGCGAGGGCUACAAGAAGCACCCAUCAAUUGUUCGAAUAGCAUCUCUAAAGAAUGAGUUCAUUCAAGAGUCAUAAAUUAAGGUAUGCGGGGUUUUCCUUAAAUCUCAUGGGCAUAGAAAUCAUGUUUUAAGAAUGAGAUUUUGAAAUUUAUGAACAUAAUCAUGUUUUAAAAGUUUUGACGGUAUUGUUUUGUUCUUUAGACCUUUUCCCCAAAUAGAUUUGAAAUUUUAUAUAUAUAUAUCUAUCUAUCUAUCUAUCUAUCUAUCUAUCUAUCUAUCUAUCUAUCUAUCUAUCUAUCUAUCUAUCUAUCUAUCUAUAUAUAUAUAUAUUGAGAGCAUGAUUUACAUGAAAUCCCUCUCUUGAUGUAAAUUUUUCCAUGUUUCACAUGAUACGGAUUGUUUUGAGAUACAUCUUGGAAAGCAUGUUACGAAAUAUCGUGAUUUAUGAAUGACUUGGUUAUGAAUCUUGAUUUCAAAAGAGAGGGUUGUUUGUAUUGACAAAUGUUGAAUAUCCAUAUACUGAAAGAGUGCAUGGUUUUGCCAAAAGCACAUGACCACCAUAUGUUUUGAAGAGUUUUUGCAUGAGUUUUGUUUUAUGUUUCGGAACAUAAAAUCUUUUAUAUUAUUUGCAUGUGGGUGGUCUGAACUAUGUUUUUAUAAAAGAUCUUGCUAAAUGCAUUAUGGCAAAGAAAACACGACAUGCAAGUCUUGGUAUGACGAUACCAAUUCAGACAAUGCCAUAACAAACGCAGACAAAUACAGAAGUCAGACUUUAUCAGAUUUUCAUGUUUUAGAACUUCAGAAUGAUGCAUGUUCUGAAAAGGCUAAAAUAUGGCAUAAAGAGAUGUUAGGUGGUUCCCCGAAGAAGGCAUGAUUUCAGACAACUCAUUGCCCAAAAUCGUGAUUUCUGGGUUUAUAUAUUACGCUGGCCUAGAGUCGUGUGGUGUAUCAGAAUCAGAGAUUCCAAACCUUGUGGCAAACUCGGGUUGGGGGCUUCCCCUCCGAGUAAAUGGUGGGUUCCAUACAGCCCGUGGAAUAUCAGACUUGUAGGGGAGCGUCACCUAACUCAGAAGUAAUACAGAGAUCAGAAAUUAUUUUGACAAGAAUGUCUUAGAAUGUUCAAAAUGAUACCCAUGUGUUUUGGAAACUAUUUUAUACAUGAUGUUUUGUUAAAUUGCUCUCAUCUACUUUAUACUUAUACAAAUACACUAUUUUGGAUUGCUUUACGUGCCAGUAUAUUUGUGCUGACCCCCUCCCCCCCUUCCAGGUUCUGAGGCUCAGUCUAGGGGUCCAGGUAAACAGUAGAUAUUUCAGAUCAUAGAUCAGACUAUGCAGUGGUGAGCCUUCUAUGAUCCAGAAGGCUUGUUUAUUUUCAGAUAUUUAUCUUUAGUCAUGUUUUGGUCUACUGGGAGCCUUGUCCCAGUUUUCAGACAGUUUUGUUUAGUUAUAGUAGAGAUUUUGCAGACUGAGUCGGGGAUUAUUAUUCAAAUAUAUUUUGGAUUUCAGUUUUCAGUAUUACGAUCACAUUCAGAUUGACCAUGUUUCCGUAUUAGAUUUUUAUUUCUGCAUUAUCUUUUAUCAUAUGAAUUAUGUGCAUGAUUACCAAAUAGAUAGGGGUGUUUCAGGCCUACAUGGUUCGAAAUGCUGGUCACGGAUAGGGCCCCAGUUCAGGUCGUGACACCAUGUCAGGUGGAAACCACUAAAUUAUUUAAUAUCUGAUUGUUAGAAACUCUGAAAUCACAUUGCCAAAUACAAAUUAUGUGUAACACCCCAUAUUUCGGACUAGAACGAAAACCAUCAUUUCUAUGCGUAGAUGAUCCAAAAGCCAUAAAUCUUAUGCAAAUUUGGUAUGUUAAUCAAUUAUGUAGUGUGGUAACCUAUUUGAGCAUGAAUUGAGAUCAUAGAGGUCCCCUAACUUAAGGACGAGUUGAAAGUUUUCCUAUCGUUCGAGUUUGAGUGAGCGUCAAAACUUAGGUCAAAUUCAAUUGACCAUAACUCUUUGUUUAUAACAAAUUAUGAGCCCUACUAUAUAUCAAAUGAAAGUUCUUUGAGUCCUCUUUCCAACUCCACUAGUUUCUUUUUAAUCCGAUAUCGGAGUAGAAAGUUAUACUUAUUUUACUUCAAAGUCUCUUUCUGCCAAAAUAUGAGACGAGGCUGACGACUUAUUAGCUAUGUGAUGGCCCGUCAGACCUGGUCGUCAGCCUAAGGUAGUGAAUGGUGAAAACCAGCCUAAAAGUGAUGACCUUGGUAACGACUUAUCACACAAAUUAAAGAGAAGAGUUGCAUGAUAUAGAGAAUUUGGACAUGACCACCAUUAUUUUGUUGAAUUGUUGAUAAAGAGAAUUGCUUGCAUGGUUUUACAUCAAUUUUAAAGCAUGAGUUUCUUGAAAGAAUUGUUGAUAUGGUGGUCCUGAAUUUCAUGAUUUGAAAACAGUGAUAUAAUUUGCUAUAAAUAGCUCAGAGCAUGGGACUUGCAAGUCAAUGGUAUGACGAUACCAUAUAUGUGUAUACCAUGACAGAGUUAAAGAUUUCAGAGUAUGUUUUCAGAGCAUGCAUGUUUAAAGAACUAAAAAUGGGCAUAAAGAGAGUUAGGUGGUUACCUGAAGAAGGCAUGAGUUCAAGUAACUCUUAGCCCGAAAUCGUAUUUGUCGAUACGGGUAGAUUAUUAUGAUACGCUGGCGACAGUCGUAUGGCGUAGUAGAUUCAGAGACUCCGACCCUUGCGGUACACUUGGAUUAGGGGCUUGGCUACAGAGUUAAUGGCAGAUCCAAUAUAGACUGUGGGAUUACAAAUUAUAGGUUACACCACCUAGCGCAGAAGUAAUACAAAGAGUGUCACAGAGUUCAGAUGUUUUCCCAGAGUCUUUUAAAAAUGCCCAUGUGAUUUCUUAAUAUAUGAUAUGUUUAUGAACUAUUUUAAAUUACUCUCAUUUAUGUUGAAUAUAAAUGAUUAUUUUAGAUUUUCUCUGCGUACCAGUGCAUCUCCCCUACCUCUCAAGAUUCUGAGGCUCAGUCUAGAGGUACUUAUAAGCAGUAGAUAUUUCAGACAGCAGGGCAGAGUUCAAUGGUGAGCUUUCUAUAUUCCAAAAGGCCAAAUAUUUUACAGUUAUUCUAUCAUUUCUAUAGUUUUAGUCUACUGGGGGCCUUGUCCCGAAUUUCAGACAGUAUUGUUUAGAGAUAUAGUAGAGAUUUCACAGACUGAGUCAGAUGUUAUUUAGAUGUUGCUGAAUUGCAGUUUCAUCAUUAUUUUUGAAUUAAGAUUUGACCAUGAUUCCGUAUUAUGUUUUGUUCCGCAUCUUCUUUUAUUGUACGAACGUUGUGCAUGACUAUCAGAUAAAGAAGGGUGCCCGAGCCUUCAUGGUUCGGGAUGCUCGUCACGGACAGGGCCUCAGUUCGGGUCGUGACAUUAUGUAAUCAAAUACACCUUCUCAAAAGCUUAACACAAAUUAAAAUAAGUGUUGUAACUUUUCUUUUUAACCAAAAGAGUCAAAUUCAAUGUUACUCUAUCACCUCUCUUAAGCAAAAAAAAUAAAAAAUGAUAGAUAACAACAGAACACAGGUUACAAAAAAACAAUAUGAUUAAGAAUCGAAUCUCUAUAUAAAAAAUCAUAAAGUCUGACUAAAUAUUCAUCUACCACAUAAAAUAACAACAGAAUAGAAACUAUAACAAAUAAUACAAUAAUCAAAAUAUCAUAACAAUAUUAAACCUCACCUUUACACAAAUUCCUUAAAGCUCGAUCGAACUUUUAUCUAUCACCUAUACUGAGCAGAAAAAAUAACAUAUAUCAAUUGAACAAGAUGAUAAUAAAGAUAUCUGAAUGAUACAAUUAAAUUUAAUAUUUACACUGAAAUUCCUUAAAGUCCGACCUAACAUUUAUCACCUGUAUCAAGCAAAAAAAAUAAAAAAUAAAAAUAACAACAUAAUAAAUCGGUAUCACAAUAAAAAUAUUUAUUUUAGAGUCCAUAAUACACUCAACCCUAAAUAAAGAAUAAAUAUGAUAAAAAAUUUAAUUAUUUUUUUCAAUAAAUAUCGUAUACAUUAAAUCGAACCACUAUAAACACAAAUAUAAAAAAUCAAAGAAAGUCUUUUGCCAAUGACAAAAAUAAUGUGGGAUUAAUUACCAAGAAAACAAUACACCUAUAAUGAACCAAUAAUUGGUAGAAAGAAUUCCAACAAAAAAGAAAAAGAAGAAAUAAUUUGGUUGUAUGUAUUUUGGUGGACGAAGUGUUGUCCUUAUAAUGAAUAUAUGUGUGAAUUCAAAAGCUAAACCUAGAUCAGUUACAAAAUAAAAACCAUCUCUUGCCAUAUAUUUUAGAACUACUAAUUUAGAAAAAAAAGUUUUACCAUAUAUUUUAGGAGACAAUAUUAUAUAUAAAUUAAAUAAUAAUUAAAAAAAGUGAAAAGACUAUUUUGUCUAUUGUUCAGUGUUUUAAUGGAGGGCAAAAAGUUCAACUCACAUUUUUAAGGGUCUUCACGCGUUUAAUAUAUUAUAGAUUAUAGAUAUAGAUAUCGAUAUAGAUAUAGAUUAUAGAUUUAUAUAGAGAUUAUAAAUUAUAGAUAUAUAUAUAAAGGAGGUUUAGAGUAUGCUGAUGUGGCAUACUUCUAAAGCCUCCAUUUCUAUUUUUCUUUUUUAUUAACUUUUUAAGAUUUUUUCAAUUUAUUUAUUAUAUUAAAAUAAUUUACACCUCCCCAUUUACUAUUCUUUAUAUGGGUUGACAACCAUAUAUUCCACACAAGAGCCUCUUUAUGGCAUGGCACAUGCAACAUGUAUGUAUUUUUGCUGAAUAUUUUUGAAGUCAUUCUCGCUAUUUCUUCCUCUAGGUGUAACCAUUCCAAGAUUCUGUACUUAAUACUGUAUUUUACUUGUUUUUCAAUUAAGUUGUGAGAAGAAAAUGUCUAUAGACUGAUGAGGGGAGGGGUGUUAAUUAUUCGGUUAAUAAGCAUAUUAUAAUAAAUUUAAAGGAUGUAUAUAUGGAAGUAUUGAGAUGGUAAAAGAAUAUAAAAAGAAAGAGGAAGAAGAUGUUAAUUGGCAUAAAAUUUGGAGCAAAAUGUGGAUUUUAAUUUACCGAUUUUAGGCAAAAAUUAGGACAAAGCAAUUAAAAAAUAUUGGCAAAAUAUCAAGUAAAAAAUUAGAGGUGAUAUUUGCAUAGAUUUGUCAAUCAUUGCAAAUAAUGAAGAGAAUUAUAUUCUAACUUACAAAAUAUAUUAAAUAUCUAUUAAAUAAAAUAUGAGGAAGUGCAAUUUUUUUAAAAAUCUCUUAUGCGUUAGAAUUGGUAUAUCUUAUGUAUAAAAAUGAAGACCUCUCAUAAAAAGUCUGUAAAACUAACUAAAAAAUAAAAAAUUAUAGCAUAAAAAUUAGUUCUCCUCAAUAAUAUAACCAUGUACGAAAGUAUAUAUUAUCUAUAUGUAUAUAUUACGAAAAUAUAUAUAUAUAUAUAUUACUCUUGUAUAUAAAUAAAGAGUUUUGGUACUACUAUUUUUUCUAUAAUAUAAUUUAUAGAGAGAAAAUUCAUGUCCAUAUUUAUAAAAUUGUGAUUAAAAUAUGGAUUAGGAGUCCUUUUCUAAUUCUUCUUUUCACAUAUAAUAGGAGUCUGCAUUAAUUAACCCAAUAUAUAUUAAAGAGACAAUUUUUACUUAAAAGUUUUUUUUUCUAUUUGAAGUACAAUUCUUAUCAAAAUAGCUUACAUAUUAUUGUUAAAUUAUUAGGAAAAUAAAACGUAUAAAUUCACUCAACAAAUUUCAAUGAAAUAAUAACAAAUAAUUAAGGAAAUAUUGAAAAGAUAUAUUUAAAAACAAAAAAUUAAAUAAUAAAAAAAGUAAAAAUAAUAACUUUGUCUAAAUAAGAGUCUUUUAAUUAAGGAUAAAAAAUUUAACUCACUUUUAAAUAAGUUGUCUGCCAUUUUUAAUUAUACGGCAAAAGCACCGCCCAAAUGCCCAAAACCUAUGGUUUAUAGAUUUUCUACUCUUUUUAGUUCACACAAAAUCUCUAAAUUAUUUGUCUUAGAAAAGAAAGUGGCAUGUGUAAAAUAUCUAAAUUAAUCAACAUUAGUUUGUGGAGUUGGUCAUUAAUCUCAUCAAGUAUUUAAUAUUCAAUUGGAUUGACUUUUUGACAAUUUUUAAGGAAGAAACUUUAUAAUUAGCAAGUGCUUUUUCUUUACAAUCUAAAAUGACGUAUUAUAAAUUCUUACGUAAAUAAAAUAUAUUUUUUUCUUUCCAUACAUAUGUUUUGUAAAAAAAGUAUAUUUUGGUUCCUAAACUUUUUUCAUUAAUAAAUUCGUAUCUUUUCGUUUUUGCCCCUUUUUUAACUAUAACUUUUGGUUCUUAAUUUUCUUUUUUUCCUUUUUCUAGAUAGUUUUUUCCUAAAAAGUUGUGUAGGAUUCCUUAUCAAAAAUUUACCUACAUUUAAUUCCUUUUAGUUAUGGAUUCUUCCUUAUUUUUCUUUUUGUAUCCUAAAUAUUUGAAUAAUAAUUUAAUGAUAAUUAUUUAAAAUAAAGUGAAAAGAUGAUUUUGUCUAUUGCGUAGUGUUUUAAUGAAGGGCAAAAAGUUUAAAUCACUUUUCUAAGGGUCUUAACACUUUUAAUAUAUUAUAGAUUAUAGAUAUAGAUAUUUUCAUUUAGACCAUUGUAAUUGAAUUAUACAUGGUAGUAAUUUAUUAUAAAUAUUUUUUUGUUCCUGAUUAAAUAACUAUCAAGGGUAUUUCAAUAAUUUUAUGAUGCAAUAAAUAUUUCGGAAUCAAUGUAUGUGUCUCCAUAACUUACAUAUUUGAAAUUUUCAAAUGAGAUGUGCAUCAUGUAUUUUUUCAGGAAUGUCCAAACGAAUGACAUGUCGCCAACUGUAGUUGCAACAAUCUAUCUAGAUUUUUAUCCACUUAUAUAAUCACUUUUGUAUUGGUUGGACUAGUCUAGCAAGCUCAAUUUCGUUCCACACUGAAUGUAUAUAUUAUGUUAACAUCAUUUUAUUAUACUGCAUUUCUUUUCUUUUACUCCUAUACUAAACAAUUACAACAAGUAGGAAAUAAUCUUCUUCAAAGUUGAAUCUCUUUUGCACAUUAGUGUUGCACGGGCACAGGUAUCUAGUGUGUGUGUGUGUGUGUGUAUAUAUAUAUAUAUAUAUAUUAGUGAUAAGACAAAUUUUUUUAGCUGACAUAUUAACUAUUUUGAGACGGAGAAAGUAAAAUUUUUCUAAGAAUAUUCUCAUAAUCAUUAAGUUUUAAGAGUUGCACGCCGAAUUUUGGCAUUUCCAGUAAGUAUAUUUAAAGGCAAAAGUGUUCCGUCGUGCUUAAAUUCUAGCCUUCCUCUGAUUAACUAGGUGUAUAAAACUAGUGUAAUUUUUUUAAUUCCUUAUAUUUUAUCCAAUCAAUGUGAGAGAUAGAAUAGGAGAGUUAUUUAAAAGGAUCGAUUAUCUCCUUUACCACGUUAGAUAUAAUGCAAUUUAGGUAAAAAGUUUCAAUUUUAAUAAUAUAUGGUUUCCUUAAGUUUGGAAUUAAUUAAAUUGAGAUCUCAUUAUUAAUUAGUAAGAUCAUCUUAAAAAUUAAAAUAGGUAUAGAGAUUACAUAAUUGUGUAUGCAUGCAAUUAAGGUAAUUAAUAACAAAAACUGACAAAUUCCUUUCUUUAAAGAUUUGAAUGAAUUGAAUUUAAGAUCUCUUUAUUAGUUAACCAUAUAUUUUAAUUUUGGACUCAAAAUUUGAGGUCUCUAUAUUAAGUAUGAGUAUUAUUAUUAUUAGUAUCUAUAAAAGGUCUAUACAUUUUAGUCUAUUAUAUAAUAGGUAUAACAUUUAUUUUACCUGUUUCUUUACCAUAUAGAUGAAUCAAAGCCAAAUAGGAAGUUUUUUUGUCAUCACUAAUAUAAAUAGAGGAAUAAAUAAAAACUUUUAUUCCGCCCCGCUACUUCCGCCAUAUUGAAAUUUUAAAUAUUUUUCUUUUGGACAUAAAUACCCCUAACAAACCAUCUAAUUCCCUAGAACUCAUACCAUAUAUUAGUCCAAAAAGAAUAACUAGACCUGAAGCAUUUUCAAGAAAAAAUGACAAGAAUCCUAUAGAUUCUGACAACCUUUUGCGGGCUCUUACUCUUUCAACUCUUUGAUUCAGUAAUUUCUUUUUUUUUUUUUUUUUUUUUUUUUUUUUUUACUUUAUUUUUUUUUUUUUUAAAGAGNNNNNNNNNNNNNNNNNNNNNNNNNNNNNNNNNNNNNNNNNNNNNNNNNNNNNNNNNNNNNNNNNNNNNNNNNNNNNNUAAAUAGUUUCGCGUCAUGUCUCUUCUGGUAGUAGUAUUAGUAUAUAUUUUUCUUUUCUACUUGUUGUAUCAUAUACGUCUGUUUUCUUACUUACUACUGUUGUUACUGCUUAUGUCUUCAUAAAUAUCCUCGUGUUUUUGCUUUCCUUGCCGAGGAUUUAUGGGAAACAAAUUUUCUGCUUGCGAAGGUAGGGGUUACGUAUGUUGUUGUUGAAGAAGAAGCAUGUAGAAAGAGAGAUGUUUUGCUUUGUCUCAUAAGUAUUUAGUUAGCUUGCAGUAUUUUCAUGAAUGGAUAAUGAUUUGUGAAUGGCUGUUUAUGGUUUUUUUGCUUUGUCCUUUGAAAUCUCAUGGACACUAGUUUGAUUCAUGUACAGUCUCCAUACAUAGAGAUGAUGAAGAACAACUUCUUCUUUUUUCGAUCAUCAACUAAUGAUGCAAACAAGACCCCUUCACCACCAUUAAAGUCCAAAGCAGUUUCUUCUUGGAGGAGUGUUUUAUUAUCAUCUGGAUUCUUCUAUGACAGUGGAUCAGGAAAAAAGAAUUUCACCGAUCUGAGCAAAUCUCCCCAUGGUCACAGUAAGAAAGUUCAUCCUAAGAAAUCUGGUCGUGAUUCAAGCCGGUAUGCAUAUCAUUUUGCUGUAGCUUCCUUUUUCACACUUAAACUGAUGUUUUAAUUUGCAUUUGCUUGUCCAAAGUAAUGACAAAUGUUUCUUCACGGCAGAGACCUUAGUGUUCCAGCGUUGAUUCGGACUAUUAGAAGAUUGACAAAGGAGAAGGUACAAAUGGCUUCUAAAGUUUCAAGCAUGCUACAGAAUCAAGUUGCUGAAAGGAAGGAAAAAGCCAGCAUAUUACAGGCAGAACUCACGGACACGAAGAUUGGAGACAGAAAAGAAUGAGUUACAAUCAGUACUGGAAAAGGAGUUGGAUAGAAGAUCCAGCGAUUGGUCUCUAAAACUUGAGAAAUACCAAAUUGAACAGCAUAGACUCCGUGAAAGGGCGAGGGAGCUUGCAGAGCAGAAUGUCUGGAAGUCUCUUCAUUUAAUGAGAAGGAAGUGGAUAAUAGAAUCAAGAUAUCAUUUUCGGAGAAACACCUUGAAGAUUUGUCUAAGAGAAUAGAGCAAGUGUCAGAGGAGAAUCAAAAUCUAAGGCAGCAGCUCACUCAGUUACAAGAGGAAUAUCGAGUAGCUCAAGACAAUAGAGAUUAUGUCCGGGAAAACUACCAGAAAAAGGUUAAAGAGCUUAAAUCGGAGAUUUUGCUGACAACUGUGCUAAGGGAGAAGCUCUAUUCUGAGGAGAUGGACAUAACGCAACUUCAGGAUGAUCUAGCCGCAGCAGUUAGAGGUAACGACAUUCUCAAAUGUGAAGUACAAAAUGCACUGGACGCUCUUUCUUGUGCCACACCCAAGUUGAAAUAUCUCAAGCUUCAGGUAAGCAGGGAAUGUUAAGAUCUCGUUGCAACGGAAUAGUUUUUAUUUUUCAACUUUACUUUAUGAACUUGUAUACAUGAGUUGCUGGCAUGUGGUAGUCUUCUACGACAUGUCUGAUUGCCUUAAUGUGUAAUCACUUGGACCAACCAAGAACAUGAUAAACUUUGUGAUAUCCUCAAACCCAUUGAUCUGAUUGUGCUCUGAUGUGGUAAAGUUACCCGAAGUGGUUUCAGUAAGUUUGCUCGUUCAUCUGACUUAAUUCUUGGACAAGCUCACGAGUUAUCUACUGUGAAUUUUAACAGUUAAUAAUAUUAUGUUUUUAAACGAACCCAUUCUAAUUUUUCUUUUGGUCUUUAUGAUUCAAUUUAUUCUGUUCUCAACCAUCAGGCUUUUGAUUUGUAGACUUGUAUAGUUGUUUGUCAAUCUUCAGAACUAAUUUCAGCUUCACUCAUAUGAAUGGAAUACAACAGUUUUCUCAAAAAAUAACUUGUUUAUCAAGGAUUUAGACAUGCACAAAUUUGCUAGUCUUUUCCAAAUACUUUCGAAAACAGCCUCUCUACCCUUUCCAGACCUCACUUGUGGGAUGUCACUGGGGAUGUUGCCGUUGUUGUUGUUCCAAGUUCAAAUCAUCGGUAACUAUAUGUUUAUUCUUGGACUCCCUAAUUGAAAAUUCUAGAUCUACCGCUGUCGUCAGCCCAUUUUUAUAAAGUUCUUACUCUUUUAUGUGUUCUUUCUUUGUAUAGAACUUAUACUAGGUAACUACACAACACAAUUUUUCAACGAAGAGUGUGCUGACUACCCUUUGAUAUAGGUGGCUCCGUCCAUGCUACAACUAAUCGAGUUACAAAACUAUAGUUCAAAACUCGUGACUUCUGCUGGACGAAGAACAAGAAUACAAAGGAAACAAAGAUGUGGGGGUUCGUACUUACAAUGAUCCAGGUGAACACAAUCAGUGGUGUACACAGAACUUCUUGUUGUGAACCCGGCUAUCAUAGAUAAUACUAAUGGGCCAGAUAUGCGUAUCAGAUCCUUCAAAAGGGGUUCGUUUUUGAAGGAUUUGAUCCGGCGAGGGCAUCUUUUUUGGAGAGUACAAGCAACAUAGAAAACGUCGGUUUUCAACUUUUACACCUUCAAUGAAGAUUCUAUGAGGCUGGAUAGCCCAGAGUUAAGAAUUAGCAACAUUGAGAAUUGAGUAAUCAUGUAACACUUGAAUUAUAAUCACGUUCUUGUACACCAUAGACAAAAUUAAACGCGAAAAGAAACACAACUAUUCACAGAAAUUUACAGGUUUCGACCAUCCAUGACGUACAAGUUAACAAGGAAACAAAGCGUAAAGUUGUGCAUUAAGAGAAUAUCAAUCGGAGGAUGGCCCCGGAGAACUUGAAUGACUUCUCUGUCUCUUCCAGACAAUGGUUCUUCUCCUCUCUAGUCAAGUUCUGAGCAAAAGCAUCGAUGAAAAUGGAUCAUGCUAAAUCGUUAAUUACAAGUUACGUGAAAGAAUAUGAUAAUAGUUUUAAAAAGCUGAUAGGAUUAUUCUUCUGCAACUUUGUUCAGCUUAUCUCUAACAUUCUGCAGCAGCUGAGAAAGGUCGCCGUCCCAUUUGUAGAAUUCCAGCUCUUUCUUGUCGAGUAUCUUUUCAGCUACCUAUAAAGUAAGAAGAAGCAAGAUUGUGGACAGUAACUGGUUGUCACGACCCGAGCUGAGGCCCUGGACGUGGCACGCACACGAUACUAUAGCUAGUUUGAGUGAACGUUCUGGCAUAUCACCCGAGCAUACUUCUAAUACAAAUGUAUAAAGCGGAAGUAAUAUAGAAUUCAAUUACGAUUUUCUAAGGAGAUAAAACUUCACCAAAGUUUAUUAAUACCGCAUAAUGUUCAACAAUACCAAUAGUUUUUAUAAAUGAAGACUGAAAAUUACAAAGUGUGCUUGACAACUACACUAGCCUGUGAAGCCUCUAAUAAGUACUAAUACUGAAAGGAAAGAAAAUACAAAAAAAUCAUCAUAUCUCAUCAAGCCUCCUGGUAGGAAAGAGGCUCACCAAUAAUAGAAGUUAGGAAUCCUAAUGAGGUGCCUGACCGCGGACUUGAGAGCCGGAACCUACAUCAAGAAACGAUGUAGCGCCGAAGAUGGUCAAUACGGGAAUGUAUUGGUAUGUAAAACCAUUGCAGAAGGGUAGUACAACAAAAGAUUAGAAGUAACAAUAAGAAUCAAAUAUAAGUGAAGACAUCUGGAAAGGAACAAGAAUGUAAACUAAAUUUAUAAUUGACAAUAUAAAGUAGAUUUAAAUUCCUUUGAUUAUUUGUGGGAGAGAGUAGUGAACCAUCAUAAACCACCAUGUGAGCACAUGGAGCCUGAUCUCAGCCCGACCAGCUAAGCUGUCCUAUACCUUGCCAGGCAUAGAACAUGACAUGACAUGAUUUGCUAGCAAGUAUCCAUGGUUAGCCCCUUUUUGGGACACAUGAAAAAAAGAGUCAUCCGACUUGCGGAAUAAUCUCUAUCCUAUGUCAGCAAACAUAGUUUUGGGCAUUUGUUGUUUAAAUCUAUGCCUUCACGGUCAGCUAACUAACUCCCUUAUGCCCAUGGCAUUGACUUACUUAUUUAUGUUCAAAGUGUUACCCUCGUUAGGCUCAUGUUCAUAGUUUAGCCGUUUUAGGCUCAUAUUCAUAGUUUAGCCGUUUUAGGCUCAUGUAUAUAAUUUNNNNNNNNNNNNNNNNNNNNNNNNNNNNNNNNNNNNNNNNNNNNNNNNNNNNNNNNNNNNNNNNNNNNNNNNNNNNNNNNNNNNNNNNNNNNNNNNNNNNNNNNNNNNNNNNNNNNNNNNNNNNNNNNNNNNNNNNNNNNNNNNNNNNNNNNNNNNNNNNNNNNNNNNNNNNNNNNNNNNNNNNNNNNNNNNNNNNNNNNNNNNNNNNNNNNNNNNNNNNNNNNNNNNNNNNNNNNNNNNNNNNNNNNNNNNNNNNNNNNNNNNNNNNNNNNNNNNNNNNNNNNNNNNNNNNNNNNNNNNNNNNNNNNNNNNNNNNNNNNNNNNNNNNNNNNNNNNNNNNNNNNNNNNNNNNNNNNNNNNNNNNNNNNNNNNNNNNNNNNNNNNNNNNNNNNNNNNNNNNNNNNNNNNNNNNNNNNNNNNNNNNNNNNNNNNNNNNNNNNNNNNNNNNNNNNNNNNNNNNNNNNNNNNNNNNNNNNNNNNNNNNNNNNNNNNNNNNNNNNNNNNNNNNNNNNNNNNNNNNNNNNNNNNNNNNNNNNNNNNNNNNNNNNNNNNNNNNNNNNNNNNNNNNNNNNNNNNNNNNNNNNNNNNNNNNNNNNNNNNNNNNNNNNNNNNNNNNNNNNNNNNNNNNNNNNNNNNNNNNNNNNNNNNNNNNNNNNNNNNNNNNNNNNNNNNNNNNNNNNNNNNNNNNNNNNNNNNNNNNNNNNNNNNNNNNNNNNNNNNNNNNNNNNNNNNNNNNNNNNNNNNNNNNNNNNNNNNNNNNGAAAUAGAAAAUACUUGUUGAAGAUUAUUGAGACCACGAUGUUAUUGACCGGAUAAGAUUUAGGUUCCAGAUUUAGCCAAAACCAGUCCAUACGUUAUGAAUACAUAAGCACUUGUUAAGACGCCAAGAGGAAAUAGAAAUAGAACUUGACAGGUUGAUUUGUUAUUAAUCUAAUUUCUGAAUUCAAACAUCUAUACUCCAUCUGUUUGGAAAGGAGAUUACAAAACAGAUUUGGAGAAUAAGAAAACAUCAUGAAACAUGAGCAAAAAAUGGUUCUACAUACCUCAAAACGUUUGAAGAACUUGAGAUCUGGAGAAGGGAUUAGACUUGUUUUCUUGAAUGAAUUUCAUCAGAUUCUUGAGAUUUGAGUUUUAGAGGAGGAAUAAGGAUGUUUAUUUAUGGAUAUCGUAUGAAAAACUGAUGGGCAAAAGUGAGGUUUUAUCCUGUGAAACUUGAAGAAGGCAGGGAGGUCUGUAUUGUAACAUGUAACUGAUGCAUAGUAAGUCUAGGAGUUUUAACGUAUAAAAUUAAUGGAGCCUUGGAGUAAUUGGUAAAGUUGCUGUCAUGUGGCCAGAAGGUCACGGGUUCAAGCCUUGGAAACAGCCUCUAGCAGAAAUGCAAGGUAAGGCUGCGUACGAUACACCGUUGUGGUGGGGCCCUUCCCCGGACACCGCGCAUAGCGGUAGCUUUAGGGCACCGGGCUGUCCUUUUUUUAGGUUUUUUUAGAUAGGCAUCAGUUUCGUUUGGACUCCAUCCUAUACAAAUCAAGUUUGAUUCUACAGAAGUUGUAAACAUGAUUAUACAUGAUAAUCCCAUUUAUAGUAAUAUUAUCUUUGAAUGCAGAUUACUGAUAAUGUAGUUGAAUGUUUCACCUCUCAUGCACACGUAGAGAAAGCAAAAUAGAGUCAUCGACCAUCUGGUCAUGAAAGGAAAAAUUGGAACAACGUCAUCGUAAUCACAAAUUUUGACAAUUCCUCCAUUAUAUUCAAUAGAAGCAGUGGCAGCAGAUAGUGUAGGAACUAUCUCUCAUAAAAAGAUUGUGGCUUGUAAUAACUGUUACUAAGAUCAAACUCUAGCCCGACCUGUUUUGAAUCAACCCACUCCCCACCCCAUGUCAAACAGUUAUAUUUCUCCCUAAUCAUUGAUUAAAUCACCCGUUUACCAAAAAAAAAAAACUAUAAAGUGGCGUAUGUGAAUGAUAAAGUGUUCAAAGACCUUAUUCUUAUUUUCAAUAGUUUCUCAUCUCAAGAAAAAAUAGUUCAAUGCAUUCCAGGAAAAAAAAAUAACAAAAGUACAAGAAAUAAAAGAUAAUACCAAACAACAGAUAGUAACAAAACAAUAACUACAAUAAAAUAAUAUAAUAGUUGAGGUAUAAGAAAUAACAGAUAAUAACAGAUUUUGAAGAAUAAGAAACUAUCAGAGCAAUUCUAUGAUUACUUAUAUGAAUCGACUGCAAGACCAGCAACACAUUACUACCUAUUAACCUUCUACCUUAAUUUGUAUCCUUCAUGCUCUUUUAUCUAAGGUCAUUUUCUCGAUAAGUUUAAAUUGUGUCACGUCAUGUCUAAUCACCUCUCGCUCUUCAGACUAUCUCUACCUCUUCUAAAAACAUCCAUAGUCAACCUCUCACACCUCCACAUUUGCGCAUCCAUGCAUCUUCUCUUCACAUGUNNNNNNNNNNNNNNNNNNNNNNNNNNNNNNNNNNNNNNNNNNNNNNNNNNNNNNNNNNNNNNNNNNNNNNNNNNNNNNNNNNNNNNNNNNNNNNNNNNNNNNNNNNNNNNNNNNNNNNNNNNNNNNNNNNNNNNNNNNNNNNNNNNNNNNNNNNNNNNNNNNNNNNNNNNNNNNNNNNNNNNNNNNNNNNNNNNNNNNNNNNNNNNNNNNNNNNNNNNNNNNNNNNNNNNNNNNNNNNNNNNNNNNNNNNNNNNNNNNNNNNNNNNNNNNNNNNNNNNNNNNNNNNNNNNNNNNNNNNNNNNNNNNNNNNNNNNNNNNNNNNNNNNNNNNNNNNNNNNNNNNNNNNNNNNNNNNNNNNNNNNNNNNNNAAUCUGCAGACAUUCAUUGUUCAAGGGCUGCCUGGUCAAUCAGUUAAAACUAUAACUUUUCCUGAGGAAAUUUGGGGACUAAUGCAAUUAAGGCAUCUCAAAGGGAGCAAAUUUUAUCUGCCAAAUCCCCCAAGCGUAUCUGCUGACAAAGGGAGUCACAAGGGUUUUUCAAACAUACAAACUACUUCUUACUUGUCUUCCCUUUGUUUCACGAAAAAGGUUAUUUCGGGGAUUCAGAAUGUUAAAAAAUUAGGCGGCAAGCUUUUUGACUUUGAGCUUCACAACAAUCUUGUCUAUCUACAGCAAAUUGAAAUAUUGAGUUUUAUAUAUUGUUAUCGUAUCCUUUCGCCAGUGACCAGUGUAAAAGCUUUUCCAGCAACGCUCAAGAAGCUGAAGUUAAGAAGUACUUAUCUAAGUUGGUCGUACUUAGACAUCAUAGCUGAGUUGCCUAACCUUGAGGUGCUGAAGUUGAUGUAUGAAGCUUGUCGUGGAGAAGAAUCGCAUCCAAUUGUUAGGGGAUUUAAUCGAUUGAAGUUUUUGUUAAUUGAAAGAAGUUUUUAUUUUCUAGUUUGUUGGGGGAUUUGGUGUAGCUUGUUUCGCUUCAUAACAUUGAUUUCUUUGUAACAAUUCCUCUUAACAUAUAUAUCACUUGUGUUGUUUUGGAGGCUUCCUCUUUGAGUUUUAAAUGAUGCAUAUUUAUGUUGUGGGAACUGGAUGAUGGUUUAGAUUGAAAACUCCAAGUAAAGCAAACAAUGUUAUAAAUAGUCCUUAUAAUCUGCUAUUCUAUCUCUUUAAUUACUACAUCAAAUCUCUAUAAUUACAAAUAUACUAUAAUAUAUAGAUUACAUUAAUAUAUACAACAUUCACUAUUAAUUCAUGAUCUUUGAGUUGUCUAUCAUGCUAACAGCACACAGAUCUACCCUCGCCUUGUGAUAGAUAGAGAGACUAUUUUCCGACAGACCCUCGUUCAAACACCACAAUAAGCCUUGAAAACACCAGUGCCUGCUUUUUGGACAUAUUUAAAAUACCCAACGCUUUCAUAGGGCUUAAAGAGUAAAGGAUGUUCUUCGUCAACAAGUUCUUUUGGGGAUUAUAAUUGAAUGGAGAAUCUAUCACUGUCUCUAGCCAUUGUUACCUUAUGAAUAGGAGAAUGUAGUCGACCAUUUAUCCCUGCCUGUAUAAUACAUUUUGCAAAAAAUAUUCUUUUAGAACUAGUUUUGGUAUUAUGACAUGUUACUGUAAUAAAAAAAAAUGUGUAUUUCCGACAUAUGUUUCCGUUGGAGAUAUGGGAUUUUUGACCGAAAAAUGUCACGACUCAAGCUGAGGCCCUAGACGUGACUUGCACUCCACACUAGUGAAGGCCACCACUAUCCAAGUAUCGAAUGCUACUAAGGCCACUAAUGUAGCAUUCUUCUUUGUUGGACUAAAUCCUGAGGCUAAGGCUCCUGACUCAUUCUUCUUUGUUGCACUUUUAGGCACCAAAAAAAAAAAAAAGAAAAAAAAUUGAUAGCGGCGAUAACAUAGUGAGCCAAACUUCUAGCGGGAGCAAAGUUAGACCUUUUCGCAAUAGGGGUCUUUCUCGAACUUCUUGCGAAUUAUGCGUUUCUAUUUGAUAAUUACUAACAUAAUACUUGUUAAGUUGUUAUAUGUCCCACUGAGUAAAAAGUUAAAAUACUUUGGGAAAAUGCUCUAUACCACCUUGAACUAUACGCGAAAAGGCUGAGACACACCCGAACUUUAGGAGGGUCCUAUUACCCCCUUUGGACUAAUUAAAACAGCACUUUUGAAAACCUUAGUACCUACGUGGCACAUACGUGACACAACACACUGAAGGAUCCACGUAGGCACACGUGUAUACAACAUAUGUGGCACGCAUAAACUAUGGAAGUGUAAGAAACACAUCUAAAUGAUCAUCUAUUAGUUUGAAACACACCUAAAAAUUAACUAGACUAAAUAUUCGUUUACAAACUCAUUUAGAUGUGUCUAGCCAUUAAAAAUUCGUCCACCGGGCAUAUUUUUAUUCUUUUUUGCUAACACAUUUUUUUAUUGAUUUUUAUUAAUUUUGAGGUGUGUUUCUCAAACUAGCGAGUGAUAGUUUUGGUGUGUUUUUCAUACGCUCAAUAAUUUAGGAACGAAAUUAAGAAAAAAGAAGGAAUAAUUGAGUCAUAUUCACUUUAUGAGUCAAAAGAUUUUCUUUCUUUUUUUAAAAUAAUUAUUUGACACCCUAUCUUAUUAGUUCUUUAUCGACUUAUUGGUCCAUAAAAUAUUAGUGGCAUAAGUGAUUGGUACAACAAAUUGGCCAAGGUCUAUUUUUACAUAAUUUCAUAAGUGAGAUUUGGAGAAGUCAAGUGUAUGUAGAUCUUAUUUCUACCUUACGGAGGUAGAGAGACUAUUUUUGAAGGACCCUCUCUCAAAAACAGUAAAUCAAAUUAGUUAUAAUAAAACAAACUAUAGUGAAGAAAAUACGACAACUAAUAAAAAAAGCAGGACAUAAAAUUCAGAGAAAGAACAGGAGAAUAAAAAUAGUAUGAUGCCAAUUGAAACACAAUAUAAUCAUUUUUAACUUUAUUUUUAAAGAAGAUAAGUCUAAAGUUGCUACGACAUACUCCAACUUCGCAGGGGUCCUAUUACCCCUGAACUCAAUUUUAGCAUAUUUUUAUCACCCUUUUGUGCUGACAUGACACCUUUAUUACAAAAAAUGAGGCCCACGUCAAUUGUGCCAUGUCAACUAUAAAGGUUGAUAAAAGGUGCCACGUAUCUAAAAAGAAUGACAAAAAUACAUUAAAAUUUAGCUCAGAGGUAACAGAACCUACGUGUAAUUGGAGUAAAUCGUAGCAAAUUUGAUCAUGGUUCAUGAAGCUUCUAAAUGCUUUACUUUUCUUAACGUAUAAUAAAGGUAUAUAUCAAAGUAAUCAUCUUUUAGUAACUUUUUAUCUUAAAAGUACAACUGAUGUAUACUUCCACUUAAAUAGAUAAAACCACUUUCCCCACAUACAACAAUAAUUGAAGUUCUCAUCCCAAUUUAUCACAAGGCAAUAAAAAUUAAUACUACCAUUUUAGUCAUUCUGAGAGGUAUCCAUUUUUCUCUUGAUUACUGCUAGCAUAUCUUUUGUGUUUUAAACCUUUUCUUCAUAUAUUCAUAUUUGUGUUUUUUAUGUUCUUAUCUUAUAGUAUAUUGUUGUAGUGAUCAGUUGCUUCUUCCCAACUAUUGAAUGGUUAGUUUCCCUAAUCUAAUAACUAUUAAUUGAGUGAACACAUAAGUUUAAAUUAUGGUGUCACUGUGUAAGAACAAUGUAAGUAUAUCUCAGAGUCUGAAUAUAAAACUGCUGAUCCAAAACUACAUAAAUCUGUCAGCGAAUACAAAACCCGACAUAAACCUAGAUAGGAUGAGGUAGGAGGUCGACUCUAGAAACAUAGAGCAGUCACUACCUCGGAUAUAACAAGUCUCCGCCCGAACUCAGCAAUCGUGCGGUGCACUCGUACUUAGUUCUGCGCCAAAAGGGUACAGUUGGAAUGAGUAUGGUCCACUUGUACUCAGUAGGUAUUAUAGGCAGAGCGAGCAAAGUAGAAAAUAAAUUAUAUAAGAUACACACUAUGGAAACGUCACUGCAAUCAAAAAAGAUCCCAAAUGAUAUCCCACACUGUCUCCACUGACAGUUCUAAUAUAAUACAUAUACCAAGUACAAUUACGAAAGAAGUGCAGAAUAGUUAGACAUCAAAUCAAACACGCAGGUACAAUCACAAAGAGUGCAUAAUGUAUGAAAUGCAAUGAGAACGUGUCACGAUCCAAACCGGGGCUCUGGCCGUGACGAGCAUUCCCGAACCGUGAAGGCCCAGGACGCCCUCUGUCUAUCUGGUAAUCAUGCACAACAUUCAUGUAAUAAAAGAUAAUGCGGAAAUUAAAAUCUAAUACGGAAACAUGGUCAGUCUAAAUGUUAUCAUAAUACUGAAAAAUUGUAAUCCAAAAUAUAUCUGGAUAAUAAUAAUGUCUAACUCAGUCUAUGAAAUCUCUACUAUGAACUAAACAAAACUGUCUGAAAACUGGGACAAGGCCACCAGUAGACCAAAACAUGACUAAAGAUAAAUAUCUGAAAGUAAACAGGCCUUUUGAAAUAUAGAAGGCUCACCCCUGGACAAUCUGCUCUACGAUCUGAAAUAUCUACUAUUUAUCUGGACCCCUAGACUGUGUCUCAAAACCUGGAAGAAGGGAGGGGGGUUAGCACAAAUGUAUUGGCACGCGAAACAAUCCAAAAUAAAGUAUUUGAACAUAUAUAUAAUAGAUGAGAUCAAUUUUCAUCAACACAUCACAUAUAAAAUAGCUUCUGAAAACACAUGGGUUUUAUUUAAAAUCAUAAGACAUUCUUGUCAAAGCAAUUUCUGAUCUUUGUAUUACUUCUAGUUAGGUGGCACUCCCCUACAAGUCUGCUAUUCCACGGGCUAUACGAAAUCCACUAUUGACUCGGCGGGGAAGCCCCCAACCCAAGUGUGCCACAAGGGUUGGAGUGUCUGAGUCUGAUACACCACACGACACUUAAGCCAGCGUACAAUAAUAUACCUGGAUCGGCAAAUCACAGUUUUAGACAAUGAGUUGUCUGAACUCACGCCUUCUUUGGGGACCACCUAACAUCUCUUUAUGCCCAAUUUUUAACCUUUUCUGAACAUGUAUCAUUCUGAAAUUUCUUAAUCAUGAAAGUAUGAUAAAAUCUGAUUUCUGAACUAGUCUGUGUCUGUUAUGGCAUUUUUCUGAGUUUGUNNNNNNNNNNNNNNNNNNNNNNNNNNNNNNNNNNNNNNNNNNNNNNNNNNNNNNNNNNNNNNNNNNNNNNNNNNNNNNNNNNNNNNNNNNNNNNNNNNNNNNNNNNNNNNNNNNNNNNNNNNNNNNNNNNNNNNNNNNNNNNNNNNNNNNNNNNNNNNNNNNNNNNNNNNNNNNNNNNNNNNNNNNNNNNNNNNNNNNNNNNNNNNNNNNNNNNNNNNNNNNNNNNAUUUCAUGUAAAUCGUGCUCUCAAUUCAUAUUUCAAGGCAAAACACAUAUAUACAUAUACAUAUAAUUUUCAAGUCACUAUGGGGGAAAGCCAAAAGGCUAAAACAAUAUCAUUUAAAGCUUCUAAAACAUGAAUAUAUACAUGAAUUCAAAAACCCCUUUCUUAAAACAUGAUAUCUAUGCCCAUGAGAAUUUAGAAAAACCCCGCAUACCUCUAUUUAAGAAAUUGAUAGAUGAUCCUUGAAGCCUACGAUGUGGAGAUUCCAAAUCUCUAAUUAUCUUCCAAAACCCACGGUUGAAUCUUGAGUUAUUUGGGAUUUUUGUUUGAAACCCUAAGGGGGUGUUCUUGAGAGAAAAUUUGAGAAAAGGAUUAUAUUUUGAUGAAUUGGGAGCUAAAUCUAAUGUUAUAGACGAAAUUUGGGUGAGGUGAAAUGACUAAAAUGCCCCUAAGAAAACAAACAAAGUCGAAACUGUCCCUCAGUUGAUAAACUGACAGGCUGAAGUAAAAUGGGUAUAACUCCUUACUAAGAUGUUGAAUUUGGAUGAAGCCUAUUGCAUUGGAAAGAAAACUCAAAUAGCUUUCAUUUGAUAUGUAGCAGCUCUCCCAAUUCAUUAUAUUCAAAGAGUUAUGAUCAUUUGAAAUUGACCCUGAAAUGUUGAAAACUAGGCAACAGGCUAUGCAUUUUGCUACUGUUUUGAAAUCCAAACGCAGCCUUAUGCGUUCUAAAAAAAUUUCGAAACUUAUCCGAGAUGUACUAUGAACUUGUCCGAUCGUAACGCAAUGAUGAUGUUGUAUGAGAGGUCGGAAAGGUUGAAAAGUUGUAUCCCGAAGAUUGCCAGCUAAAAUGACUCUAAGUCCUCAUUACACUUAGAAAAUUUUCAAGUUUUAAGUCUAAGAGCACUCUAUUAAAGGCUAAUCCAUGCACGACUUUUCCGGGGUGUUACAGAAUGAUAAUAAUGAUGUGAUAAGUCUGAGGUUGUCGCUAGAGGCGGAUCCAAGAUUUAGAGUCUCCGGUUGUUAAAUGGAUUCAUUGAUUAAAUCAAUUGGAGACUCCAAAUCCUAGAUCCGAGCCAACUUAUGGACAAGAGGUUCAUUGAAUCUCCUUCGGCUAAAAACUAUACUAUUUAUACAUGAUUAAAUUUUAUUUAUUUAUUUAUAUAUAGUAAAUAUUGAACCCCUGAUUUUGGCUACUUACAAAAAUCUUUUCAUAGUUACAUUGUAUAGGAAUUAUUAAACUUGGUUGCUUACAACAUAAUACAUAUUUAUGACCUUAUAACUUUGAUCUUAAACUUUGAUAGUGCACAAAUAGGACCUUUAACUAUUCAAGACCUAAACAAAUAUGACCUUUGAUUUUGCAACCUCCAUUCGUGAGUUUCACUUGCACCUACGUGGAUAUGUAAUUCAAUCAUACCGUGCCACAUCAUUAAAAGGGCUGGCAGGGAGGACUUUUGAUUUGGAAAUUAAAACAAAGUCGUUUUGCUUCUAUAAGUUAAAACGACAUUGUUUUUAUUAUUAUUAUUAUUAUUAUUAUUAUUAUUAUUAUUAUUAUUAUUAUUAUUAUUAUUAUUAUUAUUAUUAUUAUUAUUAUUAUUAUUAUUAUUAUUAUUAUUAUUAUUAUUGGCUGAAGGAAACGCUCAAGAAGAGCAAAUAAGACCACUGGGCUAUCUAAGUGCCUUGUUUCAUGUGAUUCAACAUUAAUAUACGUACAUAAAUAUACAUUUUCUAUCUUAUAUAUAUACAACGUAAUUUUUUUACUGAGGGGGUUCGGGUGGACCCCAUGGCAACCACGUAGGUCCGCCCCUCGUUAAUUUAAUAAAGUUUUAAUAACAUUAAUUUAAUAACGUUUUAAUAGCGUUAAUUUCAUAAAGUUUCAAUAUCGUUAAUUUAAUAAUUUUUUAAUAACAUUAAUUUAAUAAAAUUUUAAUAACGUUAAUUUAAUAAUGUUAAUUUAACAACGUUAAUUUAAUAACUUUAAUUUAAUAAUAUUUUAUUAAAACUAUAAUUUUUUUAUUUAUUAUUAGUAUAGUUUUAUCUUUGAGAUGAAAAUUAUGGAAAAAAAUAGUGAAAAGUCAUUUAAAUAUAUAAAAAGGAAUUAGUAAGGGCAUAAUAGUUAUUUUACCCUUUUUUUACUGUUGGAACGCUCAAAUUUUUAGUCCAACGCGCCAAGUUUUGCGUGUACAGCACGCAUUUUUUCACAUAGGAUCGGAGGUCAUAUUUGUACAGUUUUGAAUAGUUAAAGGUGAUAUUUGUGCACUAUCAAAGUUUAAGGUCAAAGUUAUAAUAUGGUGUCAAGUUUAAGUUUGUAUUUAUGUAUUACUUUUUAAAGUUGCACUGUAUAUUAUUAAACUUGAUAAAAAACAAGCUGUUAGAAAGUUUUGAACCCGUUGGGUGAAAUAAACAACCCUUUACCACCUGAACUACAGAUGACUUCAGUUCUUUCGGCUGCAAGUUUAUUAUUUAUAUAUAUUGUUUAUAGAUAUAUACUUUAUAUAUAGAGUUCCGUCAAAAUUUGCGGGUGGUGUGGCUCCCCAGAACCCUUAAUUGAUCUGCCCCUGGUUGUCGAACAACCUCCAUAUACACCUACCGAGCACUGCUCCGAACUAAAAAAGUUUAGAAAAGAUUGAGUUUGAGCUUUGAAUCUUGAACUCUAUGUGUUCUUGCUUCUAAGAAUAUUUGGGAGGAAGAAAAUGAGGGAUUUUGAAAAUUUCUACUAGUUUAAGAUGACUUUAGGGUUAUAAAGCGGAUUGGGAAAGUUACAUGGGAUGAAAGGACAAGUUUACCACUAAUUUAAGAAGAGAAAAACAGACUUUUACGGCGGACAGGUAUGAUCAACUGGCUCGAGCUCCUCUCCAUGCUGGGAUGCUACCUCACUAAAAUGUUCAUAACUUUUUUGCUUGGGACUUGUAUUGAUAAAUGGUCGGUGCCGUUGAAAAGAAGACUCAAAAACCUUUAAUUUGGUAGGUAGUAGGCCACCAAAAUCAUUAUAUACAAGGAUUAAUGAUCGUUGGAAGUUGACCCAAGUAAGAAGGAAAGUUCUCAACUCAAUUUUGAGCUAGGAGAUUUCUAUGACCUCAAUUCAUCUGCAAAGAUGUUAGAUACUAAAGAAUUGAUCCUCACACUUAUAAAAUAAAGGGAAAUAUAAAUUAUUGGGUUCGGGUUUAUACAUGCAUAAAGGACGGUUAAAAUUCUUGCUCGAAUGUGUGGGGUAUUACACAAAACAAGGGUACGGUACCAAUUUACAUUUCAAACUGAAGACUAAUAAAUUACAAGAUCAAAACUAUUUUAGAAAUUGUGAAUAGUGAAGACUAAUAAAUCACCUAAUCUUAUUUACAUUAUGCGUACCUUUUUUGCCAAUCUGUGUAUCACGUUACCUAUAAUACCAUUGACCUCUUGCAUCUUGCAGCUUUCAGGUCAUAAUCGCAAAGGCAAACGUGAAUAUAGAAGAUAUGGCUCAUGCAAGUGUGGCGUCUAUUAUGAGAACAAUAGAAUCGCUCUUGACAUCCAAUUCGCCGAUGCAAUCUCUGAUCUGUGAUCACAGUGAAGACUUUUCUGCUUUUCAUGGAAAGAUUAGUUUCCUGGAAGUAGUUGUCAAGAAAUUUGAGAAGACCAAUAUCUCUGGGGAACUGACAAAUUUUGAAUUACAGAUAAAAGAAGUUUCAAAUAUUGUUGAACACACAAUUCAACUAAGAGUAACUGAAGUUGUAUUGGCAGAUGAUGAAAAUCUGAGAGAAAAGGCACAAGAGAGGCUUUCUGAUAGCCUGCAACAAGCAGCAAAGGAUAUUGAUCGUAUCUGGAAAGAUUCAACAAUGAUUCAAGAUAAAGGGAACGUGAUGAAUUUUCAAUGGUUCAAGAUUUUUCAGUGCUUCAUGAUUUUUCAGUGGUUCAAUAUUUUUCAAUGGUUCAACAAAACAUCAAAGGUAUCAACAGUUCAAGACUUUCCAAGCUCAUCAAGAAAUAUUCUGAAUGUUGAGUAAAGUAUGAUUGGAAGUGAUGAUCAAAGGAAACGGUUGGUAGAAGAUCUUACUAGAAGCUACUCUGGUGAAACCAAAGUCAUCCCAAUUGUCGGGAUGGGAGGCAUUGGUAAAACAACUUUAGCGAACGAAGUUUACAACGAUGCGUGCAUUCGUUCUCAAUUUGAUGUUUGUGCCUGAGAUACUGUUUCUCAACAACAAAAUGUAAAGGAAAUCUUGUUGACAAAGUUUUCAUGGGCAGUGAGGCAGAGCUGGCAGACAUGCUACAAAAGAGUUUGAAAGGUAAGAGAUAUUUAAUCGUAUUGGAUGACAUGUGGAAAACUGAAGCAUGGGAUGCCGUGAGACUAUGUUUUCCAAGUGAAAACAAGGGGAGUGGAAUAUUAUUGACGACCCGUAACACUGAAGCAGCCCGCGAUGCUGGUACAAAGAAUCUUUCUUUGCAGAUGGAUUUAAUGGGUCCGGAUGAGAGCUGGAGUCUUUUCAAAAGUGUAGCAUUUUCAAGUGAGAAGACUUAACAUCUGAUUUGGAGACAAUUGGGAAGCAAAUUGCUGAGAAAUGUCAUGGGUUACCACUAACUAUUGUCGUGGUUGCUGGACUUCUCAAAUCAAAAAGGACAAGAGAAGCUUGGGAAAGUGUUGCCAAAGAUGUCACGUCAUUUGUCACAAAUGAUCCUGAUGAACGAUGUUCACGUGUGCUUGGGUUAAGUUACAAUCACUUGACCAGCGGCCUAAAAACGUGUCUUCUGCAUUUCGGAAUUUUCCUAGAAGACAGUGAGAUACCAACGAAGAAAUUGAUGAGAUCAUGGAUGGCUGAGUGGUUCCUGAAGUUGGAAAAUGAUUUGGAAGGAGAGGCUGAGAAGUGUUUGCAAGAGCUUGUCGAUAGAUGUCUAGUCCUCGUCUGCAAGAAAAGUCGUGAUGGAACAAAAAUUAGAUCAUGUAAGGUACAUGAUCUAAUAUAUGACUUGUGCGUGAGAGAAAUUCAAAGGGAGAACAUUUUUAUCAUGAACGACAUUGUGCUUCAUUACUCAUAUUCAGAUUCAGAAUCUGAAUAUCUCAGUAUGCAAAAAAUGCAGCCCUUUAAACGCGUGAUUGGUGAUGAAAUUAAUUAUUGUCCCUUUGGUCUUUAUAGGGCUCUUCUUACCCCUGUACAUUGUCAGUUGAGAGAUCAUGACAACAACGAUCUUUUGAAACAAACCCGUUCUAUUUUCCCUUAUCAUCUUACGGCUUCAUUGUUUAUUCUCAAAUCAGAGCUUAUUCAUUUCAAAUUACUCAGAGUCUUGGAGUUGAGACACGUAGAGAUUGAUAAUUUCCCUGUUCAGAUACUAAGCCUCAUCUGGUUGAGGUACCUAUCAUUGCAAUGCUGUGGGAAUUUAAACAUACCUCCAGAAAUUUGCAGGUUAUGGAAUCUGUAGACAUUCAUUGUUCGAGUUCACCCAAGUCAAUUAGUUAAAAUAACUUUUCCUGAGGAAAUUUGGGGACUAAUUUAAUUAAGGCAUCUCAAACUGCCCGAAUUUUAUCUGCCAAAUCCCCCAAGCGUAUCUGCUGAUAAAGGGAGUCACACGGGUUUUUCAAACAUACAAACUAUUUCUUACUUGUAUGCAUGUUGUUACACGUACGAGGUUAUUAUGGGGAUUCAGAAUGUCAAAGAAUUAGGAAUCAGUGGAUAUUGGAUUGAAUCAGGACAUUAUGGGGCAUUGGAUAGCUAUCUAAUGCAUCUUCAAGUUUUUCUAGCUAGUGCAAAAGUUUUUCCAGCAACGCUCAAGAAGCUGAAGUUGGAAAGAACUUUGAUAAGUUGGUCGUACUUGGACAUCAUAGCUGAAUUGCCUAACCUUGAGGUGCUAAAGCUUAUGGGUGGUGCUUGUAGUGGCAAAGAAUGGUAUCCAAAUGUUAGGGGAUUUACUCGAUUGAAGGUUUUGUUAAUUGAAGAUUAUCUUCUAGAGUACUGGAAAGCCAUAGAUGACAAUUUUCCUGUCCUUGAGCGCCUUGUGCUUAAACAAUGCAGAUAUUUGAAAGAGAUACCCAUUGAGUUUGCAGAAAUCCCCACACUACAACUAAUUGAGCUGACAAGUUGUCUUCCCGAACUUGCGGAAUCUGCUGCUCGAAUUCAACAAGAACAAGAAGAGCUCGGAAACAACCCCGUGGACGUUCGUAUUUCCGAUUCAUGUAAGUAUACUGUUUCUCAUUUCUCCAAGUCAAGUCGUAUACAAAAGUUAUUUACCUUUGCCCCAUAUUCUUUCACAAAAAUAACUUUGACAAAAUUUGGUUAAAACUCUACUUAAAAUGUAAGAGAAAUUAACAAGAAUAUCUCUUAUAUUUGAGGAUAGUUCAAAAUUUUCUCUUAAAUAUAUUUUUGAGCAGUUUUGAUACUUUAGUUUAAGCUUGAUAAAUGUGAGCACAUUUGAUCUAAUUGUUACUCAUAAAGUGGGCAAAUGGGCUGUUUGGGCCGAAAUUGGGCAGGUUAAGAUGGGUUGAAUGAACAACUGAGCUAAUGUCCAACCCUGCCAUUAAAUAACAAUAAAAAUAAAAUGAAAAAUGAAGAGUAGAUGUUUGCUCUCUUUGUUGCCAUUGCACAUGAAUUUUAAGGUAUCUAUUGUAUAAAUUCCAGUAAAAUGAGGUUUACUUGGAUUCAAUUGAUCUUUUAUUGUAGACACGUAAUUUUGUCCCCCUCAAAAGUUCGAUUUUAUUCAUUUUUACCUUAUCAUAUCAUGUACUCUCACCCACGUGAUUGCAUCCCACAAAAAAUACAAAAAAAAGUAACUCUCAACAAAAUCUCUAACAAACUUUUAUUCUUUUAACACUCUAACAACCCCUUCCAAUAAGAAAAUGACAAAUCACCAGCUCACCACUACCCCUACCACACGUGACCCACCUACGCUACCCUACCCAUUUUACACGUUUUGAACCCAGGGAAUACACCAUAUAUUGAGAGAGAGAUUCCAUUUUUCAGGAAGGGAGCACGAUCAGUAAAAAAAACAACAACAAAAAAAAAAGUAGCAGAAUUUUUUUUUUCUUUUCCUCUUCAGAGACAUCAGAUCAUCUUCUCCAAAAAAGGAUUCCUCCAUUUUUGGAGUUCAAUAGAAACAAAUCUCACGCUUUUACCAUCAGCAGUCACCGGUGCGACCUGAACUCCCUCCCGCAAGUUGUUGUAUCAGUCGCCGGCGAUCUCGGAAACCGAAGACGAGACCGGAAAAGAUAGGUGAAAUGACGUCAUUAUCGGCGUCGCCUCUGUGUUCACUGCCGCUGCUGAUGUAACCGAGCUCCCGGAAAUAGCCUCCGCCGGCGCAAGCUCUGGCGUCUCAGUUGGAAUUCGUCGUUUGUCCGUCAUCGGUGUCACGUCUGAAUCAUACGGAUUCUGUUUUGGUUUUUCUAGAGUUCAACCUCUGUUUUGGUUUGAUUCCGACCAUUUCGGGUUCGAUUUCGUCAUGUGCAGGGUCAACUUUGGUCUGUUCGGUUUAAUUCUGGUCAGUUCGGUUUAGUUUCAGCUCGUCGGGGGGGUUUGUAUUGAAUACUCUCAAGUCGUUUUCAUGGAUUUUGGUAUUUGAAUCGGAAUGUGAAUUCGGGUUUUGUACCGAAUUGGUUCGUCGUUGAGGUUCUCUAUUCAGGAUUUCAGUCCGGGUUCUCUUAAACAUUAUUAUUAUCAACAAAUCUGUUCUUCGAAGGUCCAUCUCUUGACUCUACUCUUUUAUCUCGAAAUUGGUUAAUGUCAUAAGUUUGUGGUGUGGCUUUGAAUAUUUUGAGCAAAAAUAUUAACUGUUGGUGUGGAUGACUUGUAUGCCUAAGUUCGAAUCUUCGUUGGAUGUAUAUGCUUGAAGUUGAUUUUAGAUUUUUGAAAAAAAUGGUUUGAUAAUCGGAAAAUUUGUUAAUCAUGGCUUGAGGAUUAAACUUGUUGAUUUGGGGGUCAGGAUCGAAAAAUUGAUAAUCGAAUAAGUUGAAGGUUGUUUGCUUUGAUUCAUUACUGAAUAUUGUCGAAUUGGAUAGUAUCAUGAUAGAUCGAGUGGGUAGUCAAUCGUAGGUUCGGGUAGGCGAAAUUUAGGAAUAAGUGUUUCGUGGGGUGUUGGAAUGUUUGGAAUAUUUGUUGAAUGUUUUGUUUAUCGUAGUUGAAAAGUGUAUUAUUUAACCGGGGAAUGCCCCGAGGUAAUUUGUAUUCACUCACUGGGGAAUGCCCCGAAGAAUUUUGUACGCAAAGGAUGCUCGUGAUCAAGGCCCGAGGCAUCGGGUAAAGCAUAGUUUAGGACUAGUGUGGGUUAUUUCAGUAUUUUUAUUUAGGGUUGUAAUAAUUGGACUGGACUUUACAUUUUUGUUUGUUUUUGCUAUUGUUUGAUUAUUUUGCGUGCUUUGUGUGGUUUAUGCAUUUGUAACGUCAAUUUAGCCAAUACGCUUUGCCAAGCGACCGUGGUCAAACCACGGGAUUGAGGGGUGCCUAACACCUUCCCCUCGGUCAAUAGAAUUCCUUAGCCGGAAUCUCUGUUCGCAAACCAGUUUAAAGAGUCAAAUGGUUUUUGGAAAGGAUUUUCUAAUGGUGACUUGGCACACCGAAUUAUGCCAAGUGGCGACUCUGAGUAAAAAAUGUAAAUAAUCCUUUUCCGAAAUAAAUUUUUAUUUUUUUGUCACUUUAAUAAUUAAAACCCUUUUGACCCUUAAAACAUUAAUUUUUUUUUACGUAAAAAAAGGGUGUGACAUUUAUGAUAUAAUUGAAAUAUCAAGAAGUGAAAUACUUUGUAUUAAUUUUAUCAUGGUAAGUAUAUAUUUAUGAAGGUUACACACAGUUUCUCAUUUUCACGUCACAUCAUACAGUGCAUGAUGAAGAAGUUUAUUAUCUUGAUGCUGCAGAAGAUGACGAUGAUGAUGAUUCAGAUGUUGAUGUUGCAGAAGAUGAUGAUAAUGAAGAUUUUGAUGCUGAUGCUACAGAACAUAAUAAUAAUUACGAUCGUAAUUGGUUGUUCAAUGUUCAAUGCCAGCCCUGCUCAUGAUGUGGGAGUUCUCAAAUACGCAGUAUUGCAUUUCUUAGGUCACCUAAUUUUGAGUAUUUGUAUUUGUUUUCUGGCUCAAGUAUUCAUAGCUGUUAUGUAAUCAAUGAUCUACUGAUGAGCCCAUCUUUGAAAGCCUUGGUAUGGGCCUUGCCAUCAAAUUGAAAUAACUGCUCCUCUUUUGAGGAAAACGUUGUUCCGAUUAGUCUCAUUCAUGUGAAUAGGUUCCUGCUCUUUUGCACUAUUACAUAUAUAUUAAUUUUGCACAGUUGCUGAUUAAUAGACUUGCCUAUGCUAAUGCUAUCAUUCAAUUUACAGCUUACUAUGUGGUUGUUGAUGAGUCAGUUGGAAGAGAAUUUGCAAUAGUCUUUUUGGAGUGUGUUAAAAUGAUUUUGGGUCAAACUAUGGGGAUGAAAACGUAGUAACAACUCGUCCAAAUAACCUGAACAAGGAAUUCAGAUAAUUUAAAAUUAAAAUUUACUUUAGUAUUAUGUAAAGGCAGAAGGCAGAAUUUUCUAUUAAGUCAUUUAAUUGCAGUACUCUCUUAAGUAUAUUCCUAAGUUUAUGAAGCAUAUGCAGUAUUGUGCUGAACAUCCUGAAGAAGUAAUUGUUGUGUUCUAUGACUUUUUCAGAGUGGGAAAGAUGCCAGUCAGCGACACUGAAAUUGGUGAAUCGCAUAUUGCUAGCACCAUCUAUGCUACUUUGCCACUUGUCUUUUUUUUCACUAACACCUUCAAGAUUGAGCAUUUCUCCAACCCUCCCUCUGUGUUCUAGUGCGUGUUCAAUCAAAUUCCAAGCUCAUUUUAAAAGAAUCACAUCUUUUAUGUCUUUAUAGUGUUGAGGAGGUCAAGAAUGACCGAAAAAAGUUGAGUUUUGGGGUUGGAACUCAGAAAACGGUGAAGCUGCAGCAAUAAGAUUGCAAUAGCUGAGAAGUACAUGAAGUAUAGGGACUCUAAACAACCGGUUGGGGUUAGAGUUAAAGAUCUUCUUGAUCAAAUGAUCCUUGAAGAAAGUAUAGGCCAAAUAAUUUUGAUUGAUAAGUCUGAAUCUAUAAUUAUAAUCAUGAAGCACUACUAUUAUGUCGGAACAUUUUUAAAUCUUUAAAAUACAGCCAUUUCCAUAUUUUUAAUUUAUUUAUGAUACAUUUUGGUUGCAUCUAUUUGUUCUUCUAUGGUUGGUUUUCUUAAUUUUUGGAGAUUCGAUAAUGUUAUUCUAUAUGAAAUAGUAAGCCGUGUUUACUUGGAUUACUACUUAAGUUACAUCUUACAUCUAUAUAGUUUAUAUAAUUUGCAUAUUUGUUUACAAUUUUUUUUGUUUCAUUUUAAAUUCCUUAUUAGUUAUUGUGUGUUACUUUUCUCAUAGUUGUUUUUAGUAUAAUAGUCAUUGCUUUUAUGACUUUUGUUUUGAUUAAACUUCAAUCAUCAAUAAAUGAGUUUUCUUUAUUCGACGUGCAACAGUUUUAGAUCAAAUUAUAUAAGAAAGAUAAUUUUUUGAAAAUUUAUGUCUUUCACCAAGUAAUCAUUUUUUUUUUAUUAAAAAAAAGUUGAGAUAUGAUUUGGGAAGCGCUAUCUACAAGAUAGUUUUGUAUUUAUUGUGUUCGAGACAAACCAUAAUACCUAUGGUAUUUGAAUGUAGAUUAAUUUUAGGAGGUCCAAAUUCUGAGAUUUCAACAAACUGUAUGGGAUAUAAAUCAGCCACAAUAAAUAAUGCAAUAUGAAAUAAAAUAGUUAUUUUGAUAAUGAUUGUACAUGAUAAAAGUGUUAGUGGAUUUCUUUCUUUGAAGUUAUCCGCGCAUCGUGCGGGUACGUAUACAAGUUAAUAAUAAAAUAGGAAUACAAAAUUUGCAAAAAGGUCGAGCAAGGCCCUUGUACUUUGCAGAAAGGUCGAACUUUGCCCCCUGCUAAAAGUUUGGCUCACUAUGUUAUCGCCUAUAUAAUGUUGUUGCCAGGUAAAUAGGAGGUGAUGGAUUUAAGCCGUGGAAAUAACCUCUAGAAAAAAUUGUAGGGUAAGACAGUAUACAAUAGAUCCAUGUGGCCUAAUCCUUUUCCAAACAAGUUGUCUUCGUUACAAUGUUGUUGCCAUGUAAAUAGAAGGUGAUAGGUUCAAGCGUGGAAACAAUCUCUUGAAAAAAAAUGUAGGGUAAGACAAGUUUCCAAUUAGCAAAAUGACCUACUUCAAUUUUCUCAUCUGUCAGAUUGGUAAUCGAUAUGUCCAUAAAUAGAUCGGAUUGAUAAUCAAUCUGUCGGAUUGAUUAUCGAUCUGUCCAUAUAUUGGUCGAAUGAAUUAUCGAUUGAUCGGAUCGGAUCGAUAUUCGAUCUGUCUAUAUAUUGGUCGGAUAGAUAAUAGAUCUGUCUAAAAAAAGGAUCAUCCCCCCCUCAAAAAAAAAAAAAAACUUGUAGUCUAUUUAAUUAAAAAGAAGACAUGAAAAAACCAUUUAACAAGGAUCCGGAUAAAAAUACCAAAUGGAACUACAAUAAAUACUUUCAAGGAGAAAAAUAUACUAAAGACACAUGCAUAUGAGUUUUUUUCAAGGAACAAAUUCAUGAAGCAUAAAGGAAAAUUGCAUUACCUCUAACGGAGAUUGAAAAGUGAAAUUGUGUUUGCUAUCAAAGUUACACAAAAUAAGUCGUAUAUAUAUAUAAAAAAAAAGUUGACUUUAAAGAAAUGGGAUGACAACUCCAAUAAAUUGACCUUGGGAUUUAUGUCUAUCAAGGAAAAUAUAAUAUUAUAACACAUCUAUUUUUUAACUUCUCCCCCUUAUAUUUUACUAGUGGCGGAGCCAGAAUUUUCGUUAAGGAAAUUCAGAAGUAAACAUAUGAACUAAUAGAAGGUAGUUCAACAUCUACUUUAUAUACAUAAAAAAUUAUUUUAACUAUGUAUAAAUAGUAUAAUUUUUCAUUGAAGUGGGUUCUAGUGAAUCCCCUCGGCCAGUGUAGCUCCACCCCUGAUAGUUACUGCCACAUCUAGAUAGCGAUGGAGGCAUUGAUUUAAUUGACUAGUUAUUCAAUUAAAAGAUUGUCAGUUCGAGUCACCAAAGAGAAAAAAAAAAUUAGAGAAUAGGUAAUGGCUUAAAAUUAAAUUGAGGGUCAUAUAUUAUGUGUAAUAAUUAAGAUUUUCUACAGUCCCCUGGAUAUACGUAUGUGCAAGCAAAUUACUGAAUUAUUAAUGCCCAAAUGAGUAGUAUUACUAACAAUUCUAUUAACUCAUAAAUAUGUUACAAUAAAAAUCCAGCCACAUUACUACAAUUUAGAGAAAUCAUAUCUACUUGAAAGCUGCUGCUGUGUGACCCGAAGUUCACUAGUUCAAGAUGUGGAAACAGCCUCGUGCAAGAACGCAGGGUAUGACUACAUCCAAUAGAUCCUUUGGUCUGAGCCAUCCUCGAAUCCUCAGACACAAAGGAACCUUUAGUGCAUGAGGCUUCCCUGAAAAUGAAAGAAAAACAAGUCUAGAGACAUGAUUCCCCCCUUGAAAGAAACAUAAAGGAUCAGUAGAAGUUCGAUGAGUCACAUUAUUUCGAUGCAGAUUUAGAGCGUGUUCAACCAAAUUUACAUCUUUUACCUCUUAACUUCAUGUGAACAAACACAGACAUAUGGUGAUCAUAUAAAAGUGUGACAAACAUUCUGAAUCCACUGACUCUAAAUUAUGGAUCAUCUCUACUAAAGCAUCUUGAGAGAAUCAUACAGGGAUUUAUAUUCAUAUCUAUAAUCUAUAUAUAUACAUAAUAAUUAUUACACCAAUUAAACAAAAUCAUCAUCCAGUUCCCACAAUAUAAAUUGUUCCAUGAAGGAGUAAAAGUACUCCACAAUAAGAAUUAACAAGCCAGAAGAUAAUACAACAUAAAUUUAACGAAUCAAACUCCCAUUAUUGAAUAGAAACCGAUUGAAUGCUCUUGCUGCUCGUCCUCUCCAUGUCUUCUUUUUUCCAAUAGCUGCUCGAAGAAUCCAGGAUACUUAGUCGAGCUCAAGCUUUCUUACUCUAGAGUCUUGCUAUAACAAAGCAAUAUAAAUUAGAAUUAUAAAACCUCCCAUUUACAAUCAAAUCAUGUCAAUUAAAGUAUAGAAAUAUCAAGAGGAAUUGUUUAAGUAUACAUUUUUACAUUAAUGAUAUAUAUGUUAGAGGAAUUGUUACCAAGGAAUCAAUGUUAUGAAGCAAAACAAGACACACCAAAUUAUGCAAUAAACUAGAAAAUAAAAAUGCAAAGAGAACACCUUGAAAUGUGAGUUCAUAUUAAAUUUUCUUUUCCAUAAUUCUGUAAAAUUUACUCCACUAUAUCAAAAAUAAAUGUCAAUAUUACUUUUCCAUGAUGAAAUCAGUGGAUAAUUUAUCCAUUUUACCCUUAGCAUUAAACACGAUUUAUUAUCCAAUGUGUUUUCCAAAGCAUUAAAUUUAUUACAUUCAAAGGGUAAUGUGGUAAAACUAGCCCUAUCAUUUACUAUUUCUUAACUUAUGUGUCAAGUUAAUAUUGAACAACUAUUGAUCGACGGAGGUAGUAACAAUUAGGCCAAAUGUGCUCACAUUUAGUAAGUUUAAACUAAAGUACCAAAAUUACUCAAAAAUAUAUUUAAGGGGGCAUUUGAACUAUCCUCAAAUAUAAGGGAUAUUCUUGUUAAUUUCUCUUAUAUUUUAAGUAGGAUUUUAACCCAAUUUUGUCAAGGUUAUUUUUGUGAAAGAACAUGGGGUAAAUCUAAAUAACUUAUGUGUACGACUUGACUUGUGGAAAUAAGAAACAGAGUGUGAUCCUAAUAAAUACUAUAUACUUACAUGUAUCGUCGGAGAUACGAACGUCCAUGGGUUGUUUCCGAGGUCUUCUUGUUCUUGUUGAAUUCGUGCAGCAGAUUCCCCAAGUUCGGGAAGACAACUUCUUAGCUCAAUCAGUUGUAAUGUGUGGAUUUCUGCAAACUCAAUGGGUAUCUCUUUCAAAUAUGUGCAUUUUUUGAGCACAAGGCGCUCAAGAACAGGAAAAUUGUCAUCUGUGGCUUUCCAGUACAUGAGAAAACAAUCUUCAAUUAACAAAACCUUCAAUCGAGUAAAUCCCGUAACAUUUGGAUGCCAUUCUUCUCCACGACAAGCAUGAAACAUCACCUUUAGCACCUCAAGGUUAGGCAAUUCAGCUAUGAUGUCCAUGUACGACCAACGUAGAAAAUUUCUUUUCAACUUCAGCUUCUUGAGCGUUGCUGGAAAAGCUUUUGCACUUGCUGGCAAAAAUCUACUAAAACAAUAGAUAAGACUCAAUGUUUCAAGUUGCUGCAGAUGGACAAGACUGUUGAGAAGCCCACUAGAGCGAAUCUCAUUUCCAAAGAUUCCUAUUUCUUUGACAUUCUGAAUCCCCAUAAUAACCUCAUUCGUGCAACAAUGUGGAUGCAAGUAAGAAAAAGUUUGUAUGUUUGAAAAACCCAUGUGACUCCCUUUGUCAGCAGAUACGCUUGGGGGAUUUGGCAGAUAAAAUUCGGGCAGUUUGAGAUGCCUUAAUUGCAUUAGUCCCCAAAUUUCCUCAGGAAAAGUUAUAGUUAUAACUGAUCCAUUAAGCCCUUGAACAAUGAAUGUCUGCAGACUCCAUAACCUGCAAAUUUCUGGAGGUAUAUUUAAAUUCCGAGAGCAUUGCAAUGAUAGGUACCUCAACCAGAUGAGGCUUAGUAUCUGUACAGGGAAAUUAUCAAUCUCUCUGUGUCUCAACUCCAAGACUCUGAGUAAUUUGAAAUGAAUAAGCUCCGACUUGACAAUAAAAGAUGAAUACUUAAGAUGAAAAGAGAAAAUAGAACGGGUUCGUUCCAAAAGAUCGUUGUUGUCAUGAUCUCUCAACUGACGAUGUACAGGGGUAAGAAGAGCCCUAUAAAGACCAUAGAGAUGACAUUCAAUUUUAUCACCAGUCACGCGUUUAUAGGGCUGCAUUUUUUGCAUACUGAGAUUUCCACGUUCUGAUACGCCAAGAACAAUGUCGUUCAUGAUAAAAAUGUUCUCCUAUUGAAUUUCUCUCAAGCACAGGUCAUAUAUUAGAUCAUGAACCUUACAUGAUCUAAUUUUUGUUCCAUCUAGACUUUUCUUGCAGACGAGGACUAGACAUCUAUCGAUAAGCUCUUGCAAACACUUCUCAGCCUCUCCUUCCAAAUCAUUUUCCAACUUCAGGAACCCCUCAGCCAUCCAUGAUCUCAUCAAUUUCUUCACUGGACAUGUUUUUAGAUUGCUAGUUAAGUGAUUGUAACUCAUCCCAAGAACACGUGAACAUCGUUCAUCAGGAUCAUUUGUGACAAAUGACGUGACAUCUCUGGCAACAAUUUCCCAAUCUUUUAUUGCCCUUUUGGAUUUGAGAAGUCCAGCAACCACGACAAUAGUUAGUGGUAACCCUUGACAUUCAUCUGCUAUUUGCUUCCCAACAGUCUCGAACUCAUAUGGUAAUGCUUCACUUGAAAAUGCGACACUUUUAAAAAGGUUCCAACUCUCAUCUUGAUCCAUCAAGUCCAUCUGCAUAGAAAGAUUCUCUGUACCAGCAUAACAGGCUACUUCGUUGCUACGGGUAGUCAAUAGUAUUCGACUCCCUGCAUUGUCUUCAGUUGGAAAGCAUCGUCUCACGCCAUCCCACACUUCACAACUCCAGCUAUCAUCCAAGACAAUUAUGUACCUCUUUCUCUUUAAACUUUUCUGUAGCAUGUCUGCUAGCUCUGCUUCACCUUUUGUCUUAACCGUGUCAUCCAUUUUGAUCGUCGAUUGCAGAAGGCUCAGAAAAAUUUCCUUUAUGUUGUGCUGUUGAGAUACAGUAUCCCAGGCACGAAUAUCAAAACGACGUAGAAUUGAUUCAUGAUUGAAACUUCUUUUGCUAAGGUUGUUUUACCUAUGCCUCCCAUCCCGACAAUCGGGAUGACUUUAGGUUCACAGGAGUAGCUUCCAGUCAGAUCUUCUAACAAGUGUUCCUUUUGAUUAUCACGUCCAACCAUAUUAUUGUUAACAUUCAGAAUAUCAUUUGUUGAACUUGAAAAAUCAUGAACCAAUGAUUCCUUUGAUGCUUGUUUGGCUUUAGCUUGGAUCUUUGUCGACUCUUUCCAGAUACGAUCCAUAUCCUCUACUACUUGUUGCAGGCUUUGACGAAACCUUCGGCGCGCCUUUUUUUUUCUGGCUUUUAUUUUCUCCCAGUACAAUUUCUGUUAGUCUCAGUUGAAUUUUGUAUUCAGCAGCACUUGCAACUUCUUUUACCUCUACUUCCAAAUCUGUCAUUUCCCCAGAAACAUUGUUUUUCUCAAAGUUCUUGACAAAUUCUUCCAAGGAACUAACUUUUUCAUGAAGCGUCUUGAUUUUUUCUCUGUGGCCACAAAUUAGGUUAAAUAGUGCUGGCGAAUUGGAUAUUACGACCGAUUGUAUGUUUCUCACAAGAGAAGCAACACUAGCAUAAGCCAUAUCUAUUGUGUUCCAAUUAUGACCUGAAAGCUGCAAAUUUCAAGAGGGGAUCAAUGAUGUUAUAAAUAACAUGAUCAGCAAAAUUGCAAUCGAGGCUAAAUGGAGAGAAAAGUCCAUCGAUCUGGACUAGGAAAAAGCUAUUGAUGUUUGCCUUUUUAAUAUUCAUGUUCUUUCUAGUUUUGCAUACUCUUGCUUAUAACAGUUAAAUGAGAUCUGAACGUCAAAUGUCAGUGUACAUAUAUAAUAACACCUCUCUAUAACAGCCAUGAAAUUUUCGGACAAAUAUUAGGAGAAAGAAUACAAUAAACGCAGAAUAUGAAUAACAAUCGACAAUUGAAUGAAUCAUGCACGUAAAGAACAUAUAGCUUAUAGUAACCAUGAAAGAAGUUUUAUGAAGACAAAGAAAAAUGUCAUACCUCUGAGCUGCUGAAAUGGUGUAUGUGAUCAAAUUACCAAGUAAUAGUAAGGAUCGAACGAGUUGACUUAAUAGAAUGAGACAUGAAAAAUUCAAUUAUAAAGGAUUCAAGUAAUUAAAUGUAUUUAUGGUUAUAUGUCACCUUCACAUUAGCUGGGAUUGAAAGAGAUUUGAGAUUAAUAAGUCAAUCAAAUCAUAGGUCAGAUUGUGUAUUAUCUCAAUAUAUAUCAUUAUCAACACUUAAAUAAAACCUUAAAUAAAACUAGUGGCAGCUUUUAUAAAAUAGAUGGUUAACCUGUAUCUUUCAUUGAAUGUUUGAUGACUAGAUAUAUGUAUGAUGUCAUCGAACUUAAUUUUCAUACAUACAUUUAAGAAAUAAAAAUACAACCAACAUGGGUAGUGGUGCAGUGGAUGGGGCUGCUCCACCCUUAACCAGAGGUCGAGGGUUCGACCCUGGGUAUGGAGAAAAUUCUGUUGGGAGCGCUUCCACCUUAAUGGGCCAUGCAACGCGCCAUCUGGAUUAGCCGGGGCUCCAAUGCGGGCACCGGACGCCGGAUGGGAAACCAAAAUAAAAUAAAAUAAAAUAAAAAAUACAGAUACAAAACAAAGAGUAGGAUAGUGACCUUAUCCAACUUCAAAAAUAAGCCCAGUAAAAGUGAAGUCUACGGAGGGUAAAGCGUACGCAAACCUAACCUCGUGCAGGUAGAGAGGUUGUUUCCGAAAGACCCCAGUCUCAAGUAUCGCAUAUCAAAGCAGCAAGGAAAAGAACAUACAGAAGUAAAGAAGACGUUACAUAUAAUAGAAAAACCUCUAUAUAGCAUUCAGUAAAAAUGAACAGUAUGAGUAACGAAAUAGUGCGAUAACCGAGGCACAAGAAGAUAUUGACCUUAUCCCCUUAAUGAAAAUUAAGAAGGGAUGUCCAUGGUUUUUACACUAUGAAUUAUUAACAAAGCUAAGUUUGCAUCAUCCGUGAUAAAUCUAAACAGUUUAAUCAGUCUGGUUGAUAAUAUUUUAUUAUCAACAAAAAGUUAAAAGGCUUUAGUUAGGGAUUUACUCCAAUUUUGUAUAGGACAUAUUAUAAUAUUAGGAAAAAUGAAAGCUCCGUAUCGAACUUCAGCCCCUUUGAGUUGGACGGCGACCUCAUUCAUUCUAACAACUCCUUGCCCUAUUUUCUCUAGAUCUAAUCUAUAUAGAGGUUUUAUGGAGUUCAAGAACGCCUAUAAUUUGAUUGAUUGCAAUCUUCAGGUAUGUAUAUAUCAGUGCUUUGAUAUUAUAGUUGCAGAUCCUUACCUCUAUAAUAGUUUAAAAAAAAAGAUUUCUAUUUCUUCUAUUAUAAAUAGGCUAAUGAUUGGAAGGAGAUGAUUAGCUAAUGAUAUGAAUUGAAGUUGAAACUAUAUGAAAAUUGAAGGGUAAUAUUAAAGGAUCAUCAUUUUAUCCAAGCCACUGUUUCACAAAGUAGCUAUAUUUAUUUUUGUUGAAAAAACAAUACAUAAAGCUUCGGUUAAUUGAAAAAUUUAGCUGUUGAAGAUGCUAUGAUUUGAAUGGUUACACAAACGAGCAAUGGGACUGAGAACUUGAUUUUGAUGUAUGACUUAUUCUAAAAAUUUAAUUUAGAUGUUACCCACGUAAAAGAUUUUGAUUAUUUUAAAUCCAUUGUGGUGUAGUUUGAGGUGAUUUAGAUUUACGGAAGCAUAGUUGUGAUACAUUGACAGGGGUGCUUGGAUUGUGAAUUCGAGGUAAGUGAGACUUUAAGAUUUAAUGCUUGUUUUUCAAAUCUGCUUUAUAAAAAUUAUAUUUUUUUCUGCCUAAUCCAUGUGUUCGGACAAGCGUGUGCUUGGUAGAAUCGGUGGUCUUUUGAUUAACUGUGAAUAUAUAUUUUGUUAAGUAUAUAGAGAAUCAUUUAAUGGUGAGUUGUGAGGUGAUGUUGGGGUAUUGGACAUAUUUACUAGGAGGGUACAUGUGCUGCCGUAAUAUGUUAGGGGCAUACCUAUGCUGCCAUAAUGUGUUAGGGGCCUUGUACUUGCUGUCGUGAUAUAUUUACUAGGGGCAUACAUAGCUGCCGUAACUUGUUAGGGGCAUUGCGUAUGCUGUCGUAAUAUGUUAGGGGCCUUGUACAUGCUGCCAUAGUAUACUUUGUGGGCAUUGUGUAUGCUUCUGUGGCCUUGUCGGGGAGCUUUAAGCAUUAUAUGUUAAGAUUAAUGUUGUGCAUAUAAUUUAUGUAAUCAUGGUGUGUUGUAUUUUCUAACACUUGUUCCAGGGGUAUUAAAGUAUCGGGUCGAGGAUCUUACUGAGCUAUAUUUUUAUAUAUCUCACUCCUUACAUACAUGUUUGCAGAUACUACCGCGCAAGAUGAAACUAGUGGGUGACUUUUCUUCGUAAGGAUUCUAUUGCUAAGGUGAGCCUUCACAUUGUUCGUGGGGGCUUUCGUUUCAGCUUGAGCUAUUUAGAUUAUAUUUUCUUUCAUUGGGUUAACAUGCCCAAAAGUUGAACUUAUGUAAUUCUAUUUUAGAUGCUCCAUAGUCUCAGUGUAGGACUAGGGAUAGAGAAUUAGUUCAAGAGUGAUUGUUGAAUUUAUAAUUUAAUUAUGAUUUUUUUUGUGGAAUUCUUAUUCUUUAUUUAUUAUAUAUUGGAGUUGCACAUACCUUAUCUUACUGCUUAUUAACUGGUAAAGUGUAAGGAAGAUUGGUUCUCCCGGCACGCGGUGUUAUCGGGUGCCAGUCACGCCUAGGAAUGAUUUUGGGACCUGACAAAAUUGGUAUCAGAAACAAGGCUUCAAGUCCUAGAUCAUGGAGCAGUGUUUGGUAGGAUCUUGUUCAUGGGUAUGUAGACGUCCAUCCUUAUGACCUUGAUGUUACAGAACAUCUAGAAUAUUUUUCCUUCUUUCUUUCAUCAUUCGUGCGUUAAGACGUAUCGUGGUUAAUUUUUUUUUUCACAGAUGGCUAGGAUAGACAUCCUCCUCUGCUAGAUGGCAUAGUUGACUUCGAUGUAUUUAAUUAUACAUGUGCGGUUGAGAGCGACACUGAUUACUGAAAAUAUGUGUGUGUUGAUGUUGGUUGUGAUUGAAGUUCUUACAUCUUGGGAUUACUUUAUUUACAAUAUAGAUUUUCUAUUUAAAAAAAAAUUGUGUGGAUGGAGAAAAAGAAUGAUCAAAUGAUAUAAUUUUUGUGUCAGAAUGACAUUUAAAUUUGAGGUUGUAGGUAUAACUUUUUAGUAUGAGUCAAACCAAAAACAGAAAGAAGUGUUAAAAAAAAAAAAAAGAAGAGUAAUAGAGGUUACCCAUGUUUAAAUAGUUUGAUUUAGUGGUGAAACAUAUUUUAAGGAUAUUGUGUGUACAGUCCUAAGCUUAAUGCUUCUUAAAAAUAAAAUACUACAAUUAGCAAUGUUGUGAUGGUGACGUCAUUGGUGUGAACCUGGUGUGAAAAUACACUCUAAUUAUAUUGAUUAUGAGCGAUAGUGGUGCUUCAAGAUGCUUAAUAUGUUCAUGGAGUAGAUCCGUGGAAAUUAUAGACUUGUGAGAGUGAAUAGAAAACAUGGGCUUAAGAAUUUAUGGACGAAUAUGGUUGAGUAUGAUACUCAUAGCAGUGUAGCAUGACUAGUUAUUGAAAUAAUAAGAUGUGAAUUAUGAAGGUAAAAGAAAUUUGAGCCAAUGAGUAUGGAGAUUAAAAAAAAAUUGAGUACUUAGAUGUAUCAUUUGUGAUGUCUUUUCAAGUGGGGGAGCCUAUUAUUAUUGAGCAGUCUGUUGAAUAUGUGUGGACACAAAUUAGCAUCAUGAUACACUUGCAUGUUGUUAUAACUGAGAAUAAUCAAACUUGAGGUUAUCUUUUGUUUGGACUCAAAUGAUGUUGUGUUGUGUUUGAUUGUCAAGAAAUACUAUUGAAUUUUUCAUUUCAGUUGCGCCUAGUAUUUUAUAUGAUAGAUUCAAUGUGUAAUUCUACAUGUAAGCUACUUCAUCGAUAAAAGUCCUGAUAGUGUUGGGAGCUAGUGAUAAUUUCUGAUAAUGAGUAAAGUGAGAGCAUUUCAAUUAGAGGGUUCAAUAUAAAUGCACUUGGAUGAUUGAUUUAAGGAGAUUUGUACUUGAUAAGAUUAAAAUAUUUUUCAAUAUUUGGCACAUUUGAGAUUCAUAAAUAUGUAUUGAGAUCAAAGAAAUAGAGCUAACAUCAUAUAGUGAUAUAGAGUAUUACACAUGUUGCCCUACAAUGUUUGAACUGUUCAUAUUAUAAAUAGGAGGAUUGAAAAAAAACAAUAUUUUCAUCGUAAACAUAGUUACUUUGAGCAAAAUAACUAAACAAAAAUUGCUAUAGACUUUGAGGUUAGCCUACACAUUAAUUUUUUUUUUAAAAAAAAGUAAUCGUAGUUGGGAUAAUAUUGAUAGACAUAUUCUCUUAUUGAGUGCUCGGAGGAUAGAGAAAUGGAUUGUCAACAAUCUUGAUGGGGGAGUAAAGACUAGUGAAAUAGAGCACCUAAUUUUGUUUGUAUUUAUUAUACUUUAUUCUAGCUUGUGUUGAUAUGUUUCAAAAAUAGUGCAAUCACACGAAAUGCGUAUGUUUUCAUGUGUGAAGAGAGUAAAAGUGCAUUACGUAGGGGUGUAUGGAUGUAUUCUAACAUUGUCGUACAUGAGUGUUAAGUAGGGGUGUAAGAAUGUGUUAUUAUACCACUAUAUGUAUGAUCAAGAUGUAGAGGCAUAAAAAUGUGUCCGUGUUCCAAUGUCAUUUUACAUGAGUUUUAUAUAGAAUUUUUUUGGAUAGUCAAACACUAACAUAUGUAAGUAUGAAGGGCGUGUUCUACUAUAGGACUAUGAUUGUGAUACUCGAAUGUGUUCUUGAAAAAAAAAAGAAAAUAAGAGAGUAUUCAAUAUCAACACUAGCCAAAUGAAUAUAUCAUAUUGUGUGGUUUGUGAUUAGCUUCUUUUGACAGGGGUUAUACCUCAUCUUUGUUACUAACUUGAUAUGCAAUUUUUGUCUCUAUAUAAGUGUUGAUGUCAUUUGUUAGUUGCUGGUCCCAACAAGCUAUAAAAAAAAAAGUAAACUAAGCUUAAUAAAUAUGUUGGUUUAGAUGAGAAUUACAUUAAGUCGAUUUGGGUAUCAAUAUAGACUUGCUUUACCUUCGAGGUUUUUGUUGUUCCUUCUACUUUUAUUCCAUGUGUCUAUAGUUAGAUAUAUGUUUGUGAUGAUAGAAAAAAAAAUUCAGGUUAAGGGAUUGGAACUAGAUAAAAAGUUUUGGCAUAUGAGAAAUGUCCAUGAUAUUGGUAAUACUUUUUCAACACUUGAGUUGAAAGAAUGUUUCUAAAGUGAAAAUUAUGAUUUGCAAACCAUUUAGUUUGAGAUUUUCUCUGAUGUUUGGGUUGUCCACUAGAAAUAGCUUCAACUCCAGGAGGCAAUAUAUUAGAAAGUUCUAGGGAUCAAUGAUUAUUUUCAAGCAUGCAAGAUAGAAUUGACUGAGCAUUCUUUAAUUAGAGUGUUUUAGAGAUAUUAUGUGUAUAGAGUUGAUAGAGAUAUAACUGCUAAAAUGUGUAUGGAAAGGUCAUAUAGUUGUUUGGUAGUUUCGACAUAAUUCGAGACCCAUUCGAGGACGAACGUUAUUUUAAGUGAGGGAGAAUGUAAUAACUCAAAAAUUUUAAUGAGGGGUAAAUGAGUAAUUCUGCCAUUUUUUUUAUAUUAAUUAAGAGAAUUAAAGUGAGUAAGUCAAAAGACAAAACCCACUUCCUUAUUCAGUUUUUUUUUUUCACAUUCUAGUUACAAAGAAGUAGAAUAUUAAGGUUUUUUUUUUUUUUUCUAAUUUCUUAAGUGCUUGAAGAGGGCAAGCAUCAUAGAGGUUUUAUGGAGUUCAAGAACGCCUAUAAUUUGAUUGAUUGCAAUCUUCAGGUAUGUAUAUAUUAGUGCUUUGAUAUUGUAGUUGCAGAUCCUUACCUUCAUUAUAGUUUAAAAAAAAAAUUUCUAUUUCUUCUAUUAUAAAUAGGCUAAUGAUGGAAGGAGAUGAUUAGAUAAUGUUAUGAAUUGAAGUUGAAACUACAUAAAAAUUGAAGGGUAAUAUUAAAGGAUCAUCAUUUUAUCGAAGCCACUGUAUCACAAAGUAGCUAUAUUUAUUUUUGUUGAAAAAACAAAACAUAAAGCUUCGGUUAAUUGAAAAUUUUAGUUGUUGAAGAUGCUAUGAUUUGAAUGGUUACACAAACGAGCAAUUGGACUGAGAACUUGAUUUUGAUGUAUGACUUAUUCUAAAAAUUUAAUUUAGAUGUUACCCACUUAAAAGGUUUUGAUUAUUUUAAAUCCAUUGUGGUGUAGUUUGAGGUGAUUUGGAUUUACGGAAGCAUAGUUGUGAUAUAUUGAGAGGGGUGCUUGGAUUGUGAAUUCGAGGUAAGUGAGACUUUAAGCUUUGAUGCUUGCUUUUCAAAUCUGCUUUAUAAAAAUUAUAUUUUUUUCUGCCUAGUCCAUGUGUUGGGACAAGCGUGUGCUUGGUAGAAUCGGUGGUCUUUUGAUUAACCGUGAAUAUGUAUUUUGUUAAGUAUAUAGAGAAUCAUUUAAUGGUGAGUUGUGAGGUGAUGUUGGGGUAUUGGACAUAUUUACUAGGAGGGUACAUGUGCUACCGUAAUAUGUUAGGGGCAUACCUAUGCUGCCAUAAUGUGUUAGGGGCCUUGUACUUGCUGUCGUGAUAUAUUUACUAGGGGCAUACAUAGCUGCCGUAACUUGUUAGGGGCAUUGCGUAUGCUGUCGUAAUAUGUUAGGGGCCUUGUACAUGCUGCCAUAGUAUACUUUGUGGGCAUUGUGUAUGCUUCUGUGGCCUUGUCGGGGAGCUAGGCUGAUCACCUUCACUGCCGUUUAUGACAAGCCGGGAGAGUGGAUGGAGUUGAGAGAUAUAUAAUGAGUUUUGAAACAUUUGUUGAAACUUAUUAAGCAUUAUAUUUUAAGAUAUAUGUUGUGCAUAUAAUUUAUGUAAUCAUGGUGUGUUGUAUUUUCUAACACUUGUUCCAGGGGUAUUAAAGUAUCGGGUCGAGGAUCUUACUGAGCUAUAUUUUUAUAUAGCUCACUCCUUACAUACAUGUUUGCAGAUACUACCGCGCAAGAUGAAACUAGUGGGUGACUUUUCUUCGUAAGGAUUCUAUUGCUAAGGUGAACCUUCACAUUGUUCGUGGGGGCUUUCAUUUCAGCUUUAGCUAUUUAGAUUAUAUUUUCUUUCAUUGGGUUAACCUGAAAGUUAAAUUUAUGUAAUUCUAUUUUAGAUGCUCCAUAGUCUCAGUGUAGGAUUAGGGAUAGAGAAUUAGUUCAAGAGUGAUUGUUGAAAUUAUAAUUUAAUUAUAAUUUUUUUUGUUGAAUUAUUAUUCUUUAUUUAUUAUAUAUUGGAGUUGCACAUACCUUAUCUUACUGCUUAUUAACUGGUAAAGUGUAAGGAAGAUUGAUUCUCCCGACAGGCGGUGUUAUCAGGAAUGAUUUUGGGACGUGACACUCAAACUGCCCAAAUUUUAUCUGCCAAAUCCCCCAAGCAUUUUUGCUGACAAAGGGAGUCACAUGGGUUUUUCAAACAUACAAACUAUUUCUUACUUGUCUUUGGAUUGUUGCACUAACGAAGUUAUUCAGAAUGUCAAAGAAUUAGGAAUCAGUGCAUAUGAGAUUGACUCUGAUGGGCUUCUCAACAAUCUUGUCCAUCUGUAGCAACUUGAAACAUUGAGUCUUACAUAUUGUUUUAGUGGACUUUUGCUAGCAAGUGCAAAAGCUUUUCCAGCAACGCUCAAGAAGUUCAAGUUGGAAGCAACUUAUCUACGUUGGUCGUACUUGGACAUCAUAGCUGAAUUGCCUAACCUUGAGGUGCUGAAGCUGAUGGUUGAUGCUUGUUGUGGAGAAGAAUGGUAUCCAAAUGUCAGGGAAUUUACUCGAUUGAAGGUUUUGCUAAUCGAAGAUAAUGAUGUCAAGUACUGGAAAGCCACAAAUGACAAUUUUCCUGUCCUUAAGCGCAUCGUGCUUAAAGAAUGCACAAAUUUGAAAGAGAUACCCAUUGAGUUUGCAGCUAUCUACACACUACAGCUGAUUAAGUUAACAAUGUGUCUUCCCGAACUUGGGGAAUAUGCUGCACGAAUUCAAAAAGAACAAGAAGAACUUGGAAACGACCCUGUGAAUGUUCGUAUCUCCGAUCCAUGUAAGUAUAUCUAUAGUAUUUAUCAAGGUCACACUCUGUUUCUCAUUUCCACAAGUCUAGUCAUACACAAAAGUCAUUUAGCUUUGCCCCAUAUUCUUUCACAAAAAUAACUUUGAGAAAAUUCGGUUAAAAUCCUACUUAAAAUAAAACAGAAAUUAACAAGAAUAUAUAUCCCUUAUAUUUGAGGGUAGUUCAAAAUGGCCCCUUAAAUAUAUUUUUGAGCAGUUCUGUUACUUUAGUUUAAGCUUGCUAAAUGUGAGCAAGUUGGGCCGAAGUUGGGCGGGUUAAGAUGGGUUGAACGAACAAAUGAGCUAAUGUCAAACCAUGCCAUUAAAUUACAAUAAAUUUCUCUCUUUGAAUUUCUCUCACACACAGGUCAUAUAUUAGAUCAUGAACCUUAAAUGAUAUAAAUUUUGCUCCAUCUAGACUUGUCUUGCAGACGAGAACUAGACAUCUAUCAACAAGCUCUUGCAAACACUUCUCAGCCUCUCCUUCCAAAUCAUUUUCCAAAUUCAGGAACCCCUCAGCCAUCCAUGAUCUCAUCAAUUUCUUCGCUGUUAUCUGACUGUCUUCUGGAAAAAUCCCGAAAUGCAGAAGACAGGCUUUUAGAUCGCUAGUCAUGUGAUUGUAACUCAACCCAAGCACAUGUGAACAUAGUUCGUCAGGAUCAUUUGUGAGACAUGACUUGACAUUUUUCGCAACAUUUUCCCAGUCUUCUAUUUCCCUUUUAGAUUUGAGAAGUCCAGCAACCACGACUAUGGUUAGUGGUAACCCGUGACAUUUCUCUGCAAUUUGCUUCCCAGUAGUCUCAAACUCAGAUGGUAAUGCUUCACUUGCAAAUGCUGCACUUUUGAAAAGACUCCAACUCUCAUCUUGAUCCAUGAAGCUCAUCCACAAAGAAAGAUUCUCUACACCAGUAUAACAAGCCACUUCAUCGUUACGGGUAGUCAACAGUAUUCGACUCCCUGCAUUGUCAUCUGUUGGAAAGCAUCGUCUCACGCCAUCCCACACUUCACAACUCCAGAUAUCAUCCAAGACAAUUAAGUACCUCUUUCUCUUUAAACUUUUCUGCAGCAUGUCUGCUAGCUCUGCUUCACCGCUGGUCUCAACCGUGUCAUCCACUUUGAUCGUCGACCGCAGAAGGCCCAGGAAAAUUUCCUUUCUGUUGUGCUGUUGAGAUACAGUAGCCCAGGCAUGAACAUCAAAACAGUGUAGAACUGAUUUAUUAUUGUAAGCUUCUUUUGCUAAGGUUGUUUUACCUAUGCCUCCCAUCCCGACAAUCGGGAUUACUUUGGGUUCAUCAGAGUAGCUUAUAGUCAGAUCUUCUAACAAUCGUUUCAUUUGAUCAUCACGUCCAACCAUAUUGUUCUUAACAUUCAGAUUGUCAUUCGCAGAACUUGAAAAAUCUUGAAUCGUUGAUUCCUUUGAUGCUUGUUUGCCUUUAUCUUGAAUCUUUGUUGACUCUUUCCGGACACGAUCAAUGCCCUUUGCGAAUUGUUGAAGGCUUUUAUGGAACUUUCGGCGUGUCCAUAUAUUUGAGACUCCCUUGAAAAAUCUUGAGCCAGUGAUUCCUAUGAUGCUUUAAUUUUUUUCCAUUAUAGUUUCUGUUAGCUUAAGUAGAAUUUUGUGUUCAACAAUAUUUGCAACUUCUUUUAUCUGUACUUCCAAAUCCGUCAUUUCUCCUGAAACAUUGUUUUUCUCAAAGUUUUUGACAAAUACUUCCAGGGAACUAACUUUUUCAUAAAGAGCGCAAAGUUCUUCUCUGUGAUCACAGAUUAGAGAUUGCAUCGGCGAAUUGGAUGUCAAGAGUGAUUCUAUUGUUCUCGUAAGAGAAGCCACACUUGUAUGAGCCAUAUCUACUGUAUUCUCUUUUUUGUCCUUUGUGAUUAUGACCUGAAAGCUGCAGGGUUGCAAGAGGUCAAUGGUAUUACAAAUAACGAGAUACGCAGAUUUGCUAUAAAGGCACGCAUAAACUAAAUAAGAUCAGGUAAUGUUAACAGUGAGUUCAGUACCAAACUCAGUAGCUUUAGCUCAUUUAAUGUGCAGAAAAGAUUGUGGUUCAAAACUCUGCUUCACUUACUUAGGUAUUGUUUUCUACAUAGCUGGAACUCUUUUAAAAAGUUGUGACACCCGCGUCAGAUCCUUAAAAAACUGCACAACUUUUGAAGGAUCCAACACGUAAUCAAUGUUAUUUUUGAAGAGUUGCAGCAACAUAAAUAUAUACAUUACAAAGAGCUAAAUUACACAUUGAUAAGCAAGCCACUACAAGUGUUGUUUUUCUCAAACCUUAAUCAAAUGAGAGAGUAAUUAAGGGAAACUAACCUUUCAAUGGCAGAUCGUACAGCUUCAAAAUCACUGAAAGCGAUAUUUGAGAAAAGGAUAGAAGAAAUGACUAUAAACAAAUAACAAUAAACAAAUGUGUAAAGAACAAAAGUUAGACAGUACCUAAACAAGAUAAAAUUUGAGUGGCUGAAAUGAUAUCUGCAUAAUUUAUCAGCCCAAACAGUCCCUUCACUUUACAUAGUAGAUUCACUUAGGUCCCUGUAAUCUAAUAUAAUGUUGAACAUAAAUGGUCCUUUGUCUCUGUAAAAAAGGGUGCACUUGGAAAAAAAUGUAGUGCUUUAUACACGUAGUGGGAUCAUAUUUCUGUUCAUUUAAUAAAUAACCUUACCAAAUUAAACGAGUGUGCGAUCGUGUUAACCAAUUUGAGCUCAUGAACUCAAAAAUUUAGUAAUGCCCAACUGAAUAAUAUUACUAAAAAUUCUAUCAACUCAAAAAUAUGUUACAAUACGAAAGAGAUCACGUCUCCUUGGAAGCCACACGUUGCUUGAAACGGAUCAGGUAAUUUAUUAGUCUUUAUCAUGGUUAAGGAGCAUUUGGCCUCUUUAUAUGAUCUCCAGCAAUCCUCACCUCUUCUGCUAGCUUUUAGGUUGAGUUAGGUCUAAGGUCCAUUUCUUUAGCUCAUCACAUAAAUUAUCAAGAAGUGAAUUCUUGUUAAUCAGUGUCGCAGAGCGGCUAACGAGUCACACUAUAUUCUGCAGUUGCUAUGCCGGUGCUAAAUGGUGACAGGGACGAGUAGCACUGCAUCUACAGCCUAAACUAUCGUUGAAAGGCUUAAGAGAGGUCAGGAAGGACAAAUCAAAGAGAAGGGUGGUUCGUUGAUCAGUAUGAACUUCAGCAUGAAGUGGUUGGGUUCACUCCUUCUCGAGGAAGGGAUUCAACGUAUUAGGCAAAACGCAGUAGCUUUAUCUUAUCUAGUGUCUGAAAAUAUUUAACUCCCAAAAAAGGAUUACGGUUCAGAAACAUAGACUAAAAAUCCUGGCUCCACUUUGCUUAUUUAGUAAUGUUUUCUUAGGAUGAUGUUUGGAUCUAUCCUAAAUACAGACUUGUACUAUGUAACUAUUUUGCUGGAACUCUAUAAAAAGGUUGUCACACCUGUGUCUAAUUCUCAAAAAAUACACAACUUUUGAAGAAUCUGUUGUUUCGGGUACAAAAUCUGUAUGUUUGUAAAACCACUUCAACACAAGUUCAAGAUUAUAUCAAGAACACUCAUGAAGUUUUUUAACACCUUUAACACAAGUUCAAUAUGAACUAUCAAAGAAGUGUGUUAUUUUUUAAGAAAUAAGAUGAAACAGAGUAAGAACCAAGUCCUCCGAAUUCACGGAGUGUCCUUAAGGAAUUAAUUCCCCUCAAGUACCCGAGGUUGUGGAAUUUUUCCUUCCAGGAUAAAAUGGUUCAUAAUUCGACAGUAGCGAUACCUCAAACUGUCGAAUUCGUUGAAGACACUCAACAACAGCUUGAUCACAAUGAGUUUUUGGAAGUAGAAGAGUUUCAUUACUACCUAUGGAAAAAAUGCAGGUAUUUAUAUCCAUCAAGUCCCUCUUACAAAAGGAAGCAAUGGUUCAUCGGAAAGGUUUAUCCCUUUAUGUUUAGUAAUGCUUUUCACUAAUGGAGUUUACACCAUGACGUGAUUAAUUUUGACACACGGCAAAGACAUCUGUGCCUUCCAAUUUUCAAGCACACAUUCUCCACAGAGACGUAUAAAUAAUUACUUGGUAGAAAAAACAAAUCUUAGUGCUCAUUCGUUUGACUGCAGAUGCUGAGUUCAGGAACACGGGAUUAGAAAGGUCAGAGGUCUUAGAAAAGGAUUUGGAAUGGUUUAGACAGCAAGGUCAUGUCAUCCCGGAACCGUCAGCUAUGCUCGUUACUUAGAGGAGCUCUCAGAAAAGGAUCCUCAAGCAUUUAUUUGCCAUUUUUACAACACCUACUUUGCGCAUUCAGCUGGAGGUUGCAUGAUAGGGAGAAAGGUCAGUAAUUUGUCUUUGAAGUUUUUAGUAUUAUUCUUCAUUGUACUUCUCUUACUGUGGUAUGUAAAGCUGGAUUUUCAUCAUAGAAAUAUGCGAAAUUCUAGGUUAUUUUAAGUCAUAAUUUGAAGGGUAUCCGAGGACACCCAAGGAUGUGGCUUAGUAGUCAAUGUAGUGGGAGGAGAAAUAUGAUGAGGUUUAAAUCCGAACAGUGGCAAAAAAAACACUAGUCGGUUCAUUCCGUUUACCUAAGCCUUGCUAGGUAGAGUUUUACCCCGUACCUAUGCUGGUGAGAGGUAGGAGGUACUAGGUGGAGUAUCCAAAGCGAGCAAAAGCUAAACCAUGUUGCCGUUCAAUCCCUUUUACUCGUUAGUACUUCAAUUUUGACGGAUAGUUGAAAUAUUACUAGUUCCCAUCGUUAUCAUCACUUAGUCCUAACUCCUAACAUCAACUUAGUCUGUUGAAAUUUCAGUAGCAAACAAACUAAACAACAUUGUAAAAAUGAAAAUUUCAGUAUUCAUCAGGUGUUAAAAAUGUCCAGCAGAUGAUAAAUUCAGAUUAGAAGAAAUGUAACAUGGAGUAAUCCGAAACUGUCUAGAACUAGUGCAGUCGUAGAGGUUGUCGCCCUCUUGCAUUGUUUCUUUUCCUUCUUAGACCUACGAACGUUAAAGGAAAAAAGGUAACCAGUAAACUUGCAUCUUCUUGCUUUAUAGGUAGCUGAAAAUAUACUCGAUAAGAAAGAGCUGGAAUUCUACAAAUGGGACGGCGACCUUUCUGAGUUGCUGCAGAAUGUUAGAGAUUAGCUGAACAAAGUUGCAGAAGUAAAAUCCUUCACCCUCUCUUUACAAGUUUCCAACUUUUCAAGUCUAUUAACGUCUUAACAUGAUCCAUUUUCAUGGAUGCUUUUGCUCAGAACUGGACCAGAGAGGAGAAGAACCAUUGUCUGGAAGAGACGGAGAAGUCAUUCAAGUUCUCCGGGGCCAUCCUCCGAUUGAUAUUAUCUUGAUGAACAACUUUACGCUUUGUUUCCUUGUUAACUUGUACAUCAUGGCUGGUCGAAACCUGCAAAUUUCUUUGAAUAGUUGUGUUUCUUUUCGCAUUUAAUUCUUUUCGCAUUUCUUUGAAUCAGGGAAACAUGUUUCAGCUCAAUUUUGUUUCCUCCUGUGACAGAAAGACAAGUUUAGGUUGGAAUCUGAAAUCAAACUUAUUACAUUUGUAGUUCCUUAGCCCUACCUCGGAGGUAGAAAUGCUGUUUCUGAUAGACGAGGAAAAACAAAUCAAUGCAAUCCAAAGAAAUAAGUAACAGAUGUGAAAUCACAAUAAAGCAAGAUGAUAUAUACAAAUGCUUGCAUCUGAAGUCAUUAGCAUAACUGAAUUUAAGGUUCACAGUUUAUGAGAAAAAAACACAAUCUUGUAUAGCGAAAAAGAGAACAGAACGAGUGCAGUGUCCCGAUCUAUCCAUAAUCUCACAAAUUUCUUUCACUGAAAUCUCACUAUCUUAUUUGAAAAAUUCCGAAAAAACAGAAGACAUGUAAACGUUGUUCAUCAGGAUCAUCUGUUGCAAAUGACUUGACAUCUUCAGCAACAUCUUUUGAAUCUUCCAAUGUCUUUAGAUUUUGAAAAAAUCCCAACAACCGAGAUGACAUUUGUCUAUAAUCUGCUUCCCGAUAGUCUCAAAUUCAGAUUGUAAUGCUUCAUUUACAAACAGUAAAAAGUAACACAAGAGAAUCAACAUAGAAAUGCACAUUUCCGAUCAUCUAAUAAAUAACGCUACCAACUAAAAUGUGUGUGCUAUCGUGUUAACCAUUGUGGGCUCAUGAACUCAGAACUUCAGUAAUGCCCAACUGAGUUCAAGAUUUAGAGCCCUUUUUUUUUUUUUUUCAAAUUCAAACACAAGUCUUGACUUCUAUUGUACUUUCAUCCCGAAACAUGGCCCUUAAAUAAUGGAAAAGUAGUUGUCUUGUCGUUUUAGUGAUUGAAAAAGUCUUUGGUGGUUGGGGAUUCUUUCAAGAUUAACAAGUCUUACACCCUUUUCCUUCACCUUUCUAGAUCUAACUCUCACUUUGAGGGGAAGAACAUCAAGAUCUACAACAACAUCACCAAGAACAACAACAACACAACAAACAUUCAACUCCAAAUUCCACAACAACAAAGUUAAUCAUAUGACCAAGGCUUCAACAAUUUCAACAAAAGGUUCUUAAGCCACCAAUCCUUAACAACAACACAAGGCCAAGCUUAGAACUACAAUAGCAACACAUGGCCAAGGUGAAAACCACAACACAAUGUUCAACAACAAUUCGGUCAAGGCUCAAGUUCACGUAAUAGUGUUCGUGAACAAGAAACUAACACUAGAAAUAACUAAACAAAACAAAGGGACUCCUAGAUCAAAGACUCAACAAUUUGGGACAAGAUGAACAACAAGAAAAACAACUUCCUCGGCCAAGACUCAACAAUUUCGGCCAAGACAACAAAAAUGGACAGAUUUGCUUCUUUUUGGAAUUUUCAGUUUUUAACGCUUUCUUUUUUGAAUUUCCAAGCAAGCAAACCCAAGAUUGAUCUUGUGAGAACAAAAUCAAGCCACGCUCUGAUACCAAAUGAUACGAUACAAACUUGGUACGUAUCAAAAACACUCUAAAAACAGUCCACAAAGAAGAGGAAAACCGAGAGCAACACAAACACAAAUCUUGGGUCCAACAACAACAAGAAACAAGGUGUAAUUGACACCAAAAACACUAGCAACAACAAGAGAUAAAACAUAAUAUGAUAAGAAGAACAACAAUAGGAUAACAACAAUCCAACGAUUACAAGAUUAUAAGAACUAACGGUUUCCCUAGAUAACACUAGCUACGACAUGAAAUGUAGAGAUAGAUAGUGAGACAUACACUACAAUAAGACCCAAGAACCCAAAGAUAUAUUAAAUCUAAGGACCCCUAAGACUUACAAUAGCAGCACCACACUCUUACGAAGACACGAGAUGGAUUUCACCGCUCAAGCACCAUCAUUUUCAAGCAAUAUACAUUCACAAGUGAGUCCACACUUGCUCAUGUCCUAGUUUCGGCCUAGGGAGGCUCUCUUUCAAGUGAAGUGCUCUUUCAUCAAUAUUCAAUAACUAAUGAGCUAAAAUCCUAACAUGUUCUUUAUAUAGGCUAAUACAAAUAAUAGAUAAAAUGACAAAAGUGCCCCUUAGUGUUAAAUGGACAAAAUGGCGCCCAUCGAGUGCAAUAUAGAGACGGCUUUGGAGCCCUUUUCACACUUCAACUCAUACACUCCGUAGGUUGCAUUUAACACACUCAAAAAAUUCCAUCUUCAUGAUCAUUUUCGUAUCAGCAAGCAUCCGGUUUCAGCUUCAGCAUCUCAAGGUUAGGCCACUUACCUAUGACGUUCAAGUCCUCCCAUGCUAGAUGAGUUCUGACCAGUUUUAACUUCUUGAGCAUUGUUGGAACAUGUUCUGCACUAGGUUUGGAGUGUAUACAUGCAUUAUGUCAGGUAGGAUUGAAGUGUUUUUUUUUCCAGCUUUUGUAUGGUUAAAGGUCAUAGUUAUAAUUUGAUGUCAAGUUAAAGGUCCUGUUUAUGUAUUAUGCCUAAUUACAAUUUAGAGAAAUAACAUGUAAAGUUGUUGCUGCUGUGUGACCCAGAGUUCACUAGCUCAAGACAUCGAAACUGCCUCUUGCAGGAAUGCAGGGUAGUACUACGUCCAAUAGAUCCUUUGUUCUGAGCCUUCCUCGAAUCCUCUAACACAGAGGAAGCUUUAGUGCAUGGGGCUUCCCUGAAAAUGAAAGAGAAACAAAUCUAGCUACACAUUAUUUACUCAUGUCGUUCUGAAUCAAAAUCACGCCCCCCUUGAAAGAAACAUAAAGGGUUAUUAGAAGUUCGACGAGUCACAUUAGUCAGAUGCAAAUUUAGAGCGUGUUCAACCGAACUCACUUCUUUCAACUCUUAACUUCAUGUGAACAGAUAUAGACAUAUGAAAAUCAUAUGAAAGUGUGACAAACAUUCUGAAUCCACUGGUUCUAAAUUAUGGAUCUGUCAAGAAAUGGACCUUGGGCCUAACUCAACCUCAAAAGCUAGCUCAAGAGGUGAGGAUUAUCCAAGUUCAUAUAAGCAAACCACUAGUUCAUUCCCCCACCAAUGUGGAACUUUUACCCACUCUAACCACCCCCUCACGCCCAGGCCCAACUGGCACUACUGCGUGGACCGGAAGCCCAAGGCCCUACACGCCCAAGCCCAAUUGACACUGGCGCGUGGAUGUGAGACUUUUACCCACAAACACCCCCUCCCCCUACGCCCUAGCCCAACUGGCACUAGCGCAUGGACCAGAAGCCCAAGGCCCUACACGCCCAAGCCCAACUGCACUGGCGCGUGGAUGUGGGACUUUUACCCACUCUAACACCCCCUCCCCCUACGCCCAGACCCAACUGGCACUAGCGCGUGGACCGGAAGCCCAAGGCCCUACACGCCCAAGCCCAACUGGCACUGGCGCGUGGAUCGGAAACCCAAAACGGGGAGGAACCUGGCUCUAAUACCAUGUUAAGAAUGGACCUUGGGCCUAACUCAAGCUCAAAACCUAGCUGAAGAAGUGAGGAUUACCCAAGUCCAUAUAAGCAAACCACUAGUUCAUUCCCCAACCAAUGUGGAACUUUUACCCACUCUAACAGGAUCGUCUUUACUAAAGCAUCUCUAGAGAAUCAUACAGGGAUUUAUAUCUAUCAAAGCACGUAUACUAAACUAGUAUAUAUAUAUAUACACACACACACACACAACAGAUAUUAAACCAAUUAAACAAAAUCAUCAUCCAGUUCCCACGAGAUAAAUUGUUCCAUGAAGGAGAGAAAGUAUACCGCAAUAAGAAUUAUCAAGUUAGAAGACAUUACAACAUAUAAAUGUAUCGAAUCAAACUCCCCAUAUUGAAUAGAAACCGAUUAAAUCUUCUUGUUGCUCAUCCUCUCCUUGUCUUUUUUUUUCAAAAAGCUGCUCCAAGAAUCCACAAUACUUAGGACGAGCGAUCAAGCCAUCUUACUAUUUUUAUUGCUAUAACAAAGCAAUAUAAAUUAGAAAUAUAAAACUCAAGAGGAAGCCUCCAAAACAACACAAGUGAUAUAUAUAUGUUAGAGGAAUUGUUACAAGGAAAUCAAUGUUAUGAAGCAAAACAAGCUACACCAAAUCCCCCGACAAACUAGAAAAUAAAAAUGCAAAGAGAACACCUUGAAAUGUGAGUUUAUACAAAAUUUUCUUUUUUACAAUUCUGUCAAAUUUACUCCACUAUAUAAAAAAAAAAUGUCAAUAAUACUUGUCCAUUUUGAAACCAAUGAAUAAUUUACCCAUUUUACUCUUAGCAUUAAAUACGAUUCAUUAUCCAAUGUGUUAUUCCAAAGCAUUAGAUUUAUUACUCCCUCCGUUUCGUUUUAGUUGACCCUUAUUGACUUGGCACACCCCUUAAGAAAUUAUUUAAUAAAGGUUUAUUUUACUAAAAUAACCCUAUUAAUUAUGCAUUGAAAAUAUGAAUUUGAGUAAAUACAUUUUAUUUAAUCAUUUAAUGUUGAGGGUAAUAUUGGAAAAAUAUAAUAAAAUCCUCUUGAUUUCAUCAAAGGGACAACUAAAUUGAAACAAAUAUUUUUAGAAAGAGGGCCAACUAAAACAAAACGGAGGGAGUAGAUUCAAAGGGUAAUAUGGUAAAACUAGCCCUAUCAUUACUAUUUCUUAACUUAUGUGUCAAGUUAAUAAUGGACAACUAUUGAUAGAUGGAGGUAGUAACAAUUAGACAAAAUGUGUUCACAUUUAGCAAGCUUAAACUAAAGUACCAAAAUUGCUCAAAAAUAUAUUUAAGGGGACAUUUUGGUGAAAUAUAAGGGAUAUUUUAACCAAAUUUUGUCAAGGUUAUUUUUGUGAAAGAAUAUGGGGCAAAGCUGAAUUACUUUUGUGUACGACUUGACUUGUGGAAAUCCUAAAUAGAGUGUGACCCUGAUAAAUACUAUAUACUUACGUAAAUGAGAGAUACGAAUGUCCACGGGGUUGUUUCCAAGGUCUUCUUGUUCUUUUUGAAUUCAUGCUGCAGAUUCCCCAAGUUUGGGAAGACACCAUGAUAACUCAAUCAGUUGUAGUGUGUGGAUUUCUGCAAACUCAAUGGGUAUCUCUUUCAAAUUAUAGCAUUCUUUAAGUACAAGGCACUCAAGGACAGGAAAAUUGUCAUCUGUGACUUCCAGUGCUUGAGACGAUUACCUUUAAUUAGCAAAAACUUCAAUCGAGUAAAUCCCCUAACAUUUGGAUACCAUUCUUCUCCAAGACAAGCAUCAUGCAUCAGCUUCAGCACCUCAAGGUUAGGCAAUUCAUCUAUGAUGUCCAUGUACGACCAACGUAGAAAAUUUCUUUUCAACUUCAGCUUCUUGAGCGUUGCUGGAAAAGCUUUUGCACUUGCUGGCAAAAAUCUACUAAAACAAUAGAUAAGACUCAAUGUUUCAAGUUGCUGCAGAUGGACAAGAUUGUUGAGAGGCAGCCCAUCAGAGUCAAUCUGAUAUGCACUGAUUCCUAAUUCUUUGACCUUCUGAAUCCUCAUAAUAAACUCCUUCGUGCAACAACAUGGAGACAAGUAAGAAAUAGUUUGUAUGGUUGAAAAACCCAUGUGACUCCCUUUGUCAGCAGAUACGCUUGGGGGAUUAGGCAGAUAAAAUUCGGGCAGUUCGAGAUGCCUUAAUUGCAUUAGUCCCAAAAUUUCCUCAGGAAAAGUUAUUUUCCAUAGACUAGGCCCUUGAACCAUGAAUGUCUGCAGAUUCCAUAACCUUCAAAUUUCUGGAGGUAUGUCUACUUUCUUACGGAAAUGCAAUAAUAGGUACCUCAACCAGAUUAGGCUUAGAAUCUGUACAGGGAAAUGAUCCAUAUCUAUGUUUCUCAACUCCAAGACUUUGAGUAAUUUGAAAUGAAUAAGCUCUGAUUUGAGAACAAAAAAUGAAUCCUUAAGAUGAAAAGAGAAAAUAGAACGGGUUCGUUUAAUAAGAUCGUUGUUGUCAUGAUCUCCCAACUGAUGAUGUACAGGGGUAAGAAGAGCCCUAUAAAGACCAUGGGGACAAUAAUCAAUUUUAUCACCAGUCACGCGUUUAAAGGGCUGCAUUUUUUGCAUAGUGAGAUAUCGACGUUUUGAAUCUGAAUAUGAGUAAUCAAGCACAAUGUCAUUCAUGAUAAAAAUGUUCUCCAUUUGAAUUUCUCUCACGCACAGGUCAUAUAUUAUAUCAUGAACCUUACAUGAUCUAUUUUUUGUUCCAUCUAGACUUUUCUUGCAGACGAGGACUAGACAUCUAUCGACAAGCUCCUGCAAACACUUCUCAGCCUCUCCUUCCAAAUCAUUUUCCAACUUCAGGAACCCCUCAGCCAUCCAUGAUCUCACCAAUCUCUUUGCUGGUACCUCACUGUCUUCUGGAAAAAUUCCGAAAUGCAGAAGACAUGUUUUUAGAUCGCUAGUCAAGUGAUGUAACUGAACCCAAGCACAUGUGAACAUUGUUCAUCAGGAUCAUUUGUGAUGAAUGACGUGACAUCUUUGGCAACACUUCCCCAAUCUUCUAUUGUCAUUUUAGAUUUAAGAAGCCCAGCAACCACGACGAUAGUUAGUGGUAACCCGUGACAUUUCUCUGCGAUUUGCUUCGCAAUAGUCUCAAACAAAGAUGACAAUGCUUCAUUUGAAAAUGCUGUACUUUUAAAAAGGUUCCAACUCUCAUCUUGAUCCAUGAAGUUCAUCUGCAUAGAAAGAUUCUCUGUACCCGCAUUGCGAGCUACUUCGUUGUUACGGGUAGUCAACAGUAUUCGACUCCCUGCAUUUUCAUCAGUUGGAAAGCAUCGUCUCACGCCAUCCCACACUUCACAACUCCAGAUAUCAUCCAAGACAAUUAAGUACCUCUUUCUCUUUAAACUUUUUUGCAGCAUGUCUGCUAGCUCUGCUUCAACUUCCGUCUUAACCGUGUCAUCCAUUUUGAUCGUCGAUUUUAGAAGGGUCUGCAAAAUUUCCUUUAUGUUGUGCUGUUGAGAUACAGUAGCCCAGGCACGAACAUCAAAACCGCGUAGAAUAGAUUCAUGAUUGUAGACUUCUUUCGCUAAGGUUGUUUUACCUAUCCCAUCCCGACAAUCGGGAUGACUUUGGGUUCACCAGAGUAGCUUCCAAUCAGAUCUUCUAACAAGCGUUCCUUUUGAUCAUCACGUCCAACCAUAUUAUUGUUAACAUUCAGAAUAUCGUUUGUUGAACUUGAAAAAUCAUGAACCAAUGAUUCCUUUGAUGCCUGUUUGCCUUUAUCUUGAAUCUUUGUUGACUCUUUCCGGACAUGAUCAAUGUCCUUUGCUAAUUGUCGAAAGCUUUUAUGAAACUUUCUGAGUGUCCUUAUAUUGAGAUUCCUUUGAAAAAUCUUGUGCCAAUGAUUCCUCUGAUGCUUUUAUUUUCUCCCAGUACAGUUUCUGUUAGUCUCAGUUGAAUUGUGUUUUCAGCAGCACUUGCAACUUCUUUUACCUCUACUUCAAAAUCCGUCAUUUCCCCAGAAACAUUGUUUUUCACAAAGUUCUUAACAAAUACUUCCAGGGAACUAACUUUUUCAUGAAGAGCGCUAAGUUCUUCUCUGUGAUCACAGAUUAGAGAUUGCAUCGGUGAAUUGGAUGUCAGGAGCGAUUAUAUUGUUCUCAUAAGAGAAGCCACACUUGCAUGAGUCAUAUCUACUGAAUUCUCGUUUCUAUACUUUGCGGUUAUGACCUGAAAGCUGCAGGUUGCAAGAGGUCAACGGUAUUACAAAUAACGAGAUACACAGAUUUGCUGAAAAGGCACGCACAAACUAAAUAAGAUCAGGUCAUGUAUUUGUCAUAAUCAUAGCUAUAAAAGGGUAACAGUGAGUUUAGUCCCAAAGUAGCUUUAGCUCAUUUAACGCGUAAAAAUAAUUUAACUCCCUGUACGCAAAAUAGAUUGUGGUUCAAAACUCCGCUUUUCUUACUUAGGUAGUGUUUUCUAUGUUGCUGGGACUCUUUAAAAAAGUUGCCACACCCAUUUCAGAUCCUUAAAAAAAUGCACAACCUAUGAAGGAUCCAACACGUAAUCAUCGUUAUUUUUGAGGAGUUGGAGCAACAUAACUAUAUAUAGUACAAAGAGCUAAAUUAUACAUUGAUAAGCCACUACAAGUGCUAUUUUGCUCUAGAACUUUAAUUAAAUGAGAGAAUAAUUAAUGGAAACUAACCUUUCAAUGGCAGAUCUUCAAAAUCACUGAAAGAGAUAUUUGAGAAAAGGAUAGAAGAAAUGACAAUAUUAUGAGUAACAAUAAACAAAUGUGUGAAGAACGAAAGAUACACAGUACCUAAACAAGAUAACAUAUGAGUGGUUGAAAUGAUACCUGAAGAAUUUAUCAGCCCAAACAGUCCCUUAACUCUGCAUAGUAGGUUCACUUAGGUUACUAUAAUAUAAUGUUGAACAUAAAUGGUCCUUUAUCUGUAACGCCCCAUAAAAGUCAUGCAUAUACUAGCUCCAAGUGGUGUGGUUUUGAACUUGAAAACUUGAAAUUUUUCUAAGUGUUGAAAGACUUAGACUCAUUUUUAGCUAUUAACCUUCGGGGAUUUUAUUUCCAACCUUCCCGACGUCCGUUUUCAGAUUUUCUUGUUGCGUUGCGAUGGGGCAAGGUUGUAGUGCGUCUCGAAAGAGUUUCGGAAUUUUUAGACGAGCAUAAGGACGAGUUUGGGGUUGCAUUCCAGUGAGGGUACGCGAUCUGCGGGCGUCGCCUGGCAGAUCGCCUGGCCUGGGCUUGAGCCCGCGAUUGAGCGGGCGACGCCUGCUAAAAAGCGGUACUCUAGAGCCCACAUCGCCUGCUGAAUCGCCCCAGGCCAAACUGUUCAGCCCAUCGAAAAAUUAAUGGUAUUUCAAUAAUUGUCCAAUCCCCCAUCAACUCAAACAAUUUAAUCCCUCAAACACCAAAAUAGAGUCUCAUUCACCAAAAUUACUCAAGAACUCUCUCAAGGAUUUUAAAAUAAAAAUCCUAAUAGCUCAAGAUUCAACUGUGUGUUUUCAAAACAAAUUGAAGAUUUGGAAUCCCCGCAACGUAGGCUUCAAGAAACAUCUAUUAUUUCCGCGUAUAGAGGUACGUGAGGUUAUCCUAAAAAUCUCAUAGGCUUAAAAAUUCAUGUUUUAAUAAUGGGGGUUUUGAAAUUUAUGAAUAUAAUCAUGUUUUAAACGUUUCUAUGAUAUUGAUUUGGUCUUUAGACCUAUUCCCGAAGUGAUUUGAUAUAUUAUAUGUGUAUAUGCAUGUAUUCCGAAAAGAUGUUAACUUGAGAGCAUGAAUUAUAUGAAAUCCCUCUCUUGAUAUGAUUUUUUUUUUAAUUUUCAUAUGAUGUGAAAUGUUUGAAAUCAUCUUGACAAGCAUGACAUGGAAUAUUUUGAAAAUUGUUAUGAUUGGUUAUGAUUUUCGACUUGCAAGGAGAGGGUUGUUUAUAAUGGUUGAAUGAAAGAAUGAUGUGAUGCUGAUGACUUGCAAGUCGGGUAUGAUGAUACCCUACAGAAUAUGAUAGGUGAUUGAAUUAAAUGAAGUUUGAAUGCAUUGAUUUUAUAUGAGAUAGGUGGAUGACCCAAGAAGGCGUUUGAGUGUAAGGGUUCAUCGUUGGAAAUCGUGUUUGCCGACAUGGGAACUUGGUUCAAUGCUUUGUGAUCUUGUGUACCUGAUAUAUAUAUUAUCCCAAUUUGGGACUAUGGUUAGGAGCCCUGCUUUGUGAUCUUGUGCACUACCAUACUUCAUUGGGUCGAGCCACCCUGCUGUGUGACCUUGUGUGUCUUCCCCUAACUUAUACUCUAAUCUUGGCAGCAACCGAGGUUUGACAGGUGGUGUAAAUGUGAUAUUGUAGGGUAUUCCACCUAGCUCACCUGCAUUGCGUUGUUGUUAAAAAAUUAUUACAUUAUGCCCAUGUGUUUUCAAAUGAUUUGAUAUGAAACUGUUUUAUAAUGGCUCUCACUUAUACUUUGUAAAAAUAUUGUAUUUUGUUUUGGAUUACACUGCGUACCAGCACAUUUGUAUUGACCCCCUUCCCUCCCAGGUUCGGAGGCACAGUCUAGGGGUCCAGAUAACCAGUAGAUUUCUUCCGACAGAUUUACAAAAUCAAGUGGUGAGUCUUCUAUAUUUUGGAAGGCCUGAUGCCUAUCAGUUCAUUUAUCACUUAGUAGUUUUGGUUCUACUGGGGCCCUUGUCCCAGUUUUCGGACAGUUAUUUGUUUCAGUCGUAUAGUAGAGAUUUCGCAGACGGUUGUUCAGAAGUCGAUAGAUGUUGUGGGACAUUAUUUUUCCUUUGUUGAUUUCAUUUGAUUUAUGACCAUAUUUCCGUAAUAUUGUGUAUCUUCCGUAUAUCUUAUUAUCAUAUGAAUUAUGUGCAUGAUUACCAGAUAGAUACGGGUGUUUCGGGCCUUCAUGGUUUGGAAUGCUCGGCACGGCCAGGGCCCCGAUUCGGGUUGUGACAAACUUGGUAUCAGAGCACAGUUCAUAGUCCCAGGGUGUCUGCGAAAUCGCAUCGGGUAGAGUCUUGUUUAUGGGUGUGUAUCGUGCCACACUUAUAAGCAGGAGGCUACCAGGCGUUUAGGAAAUGUUUCCCUUAUUUGUGAAUUAGUUCGUGCUUCAAAGUCAAGUCUGAUCCUAAUCAGUGAUCUUUUGUCUUACAGAGACAACAGUCAUGCCUCUUCGUCGCAAUACUAAUAGAGUGCUCAAAAUGAUGAAGACCGUCCCACUCAUGGGAUGAGGACACGUAAUAGGGCUCUCCCUCCAGACCCUGUCCCUACUUUGGGAGUCCCAACCAGUCCACCUCAGGCUCCACGGACCAAUAUGAACCGUCCCCCGACUUCACAGGGGAAUAUAUCAAACGCAGAGUUCAGGCAAUCUAUUCACAAAAAUAUUUUAAUUUUUUAUUCAGUCGAACAUAUUAAAACUUAAUAAGUACUCCCUCCGUUUUAAAAAACUGAUCUGUUUUUAUUUUUAGUCUAUUUAAAAAAAGAAUGAUAAUUUCCUUUUUUGGUAACACUACUCCAACUUUUCACAUAGUAUGUUUAAGACCAUAAAAUUUAAAAAUAUUAUAGUACAUUUGACAUAAAUUUAAUUUAAAAUAACAAGAUUUAAAAUUUUUUUUUAUUUUAUUAAACUCCGUGAUAAAUCAAAAUAGGUCAUUUUUUUAAAACGAAAGAAUAUUAUGUAAGUAAUUAAUAAUAAAAUAGGAAUGCAAAAUUUGCAGAAAGGUUGAGAAAGGCCCUUGUACUUUGCAGAAAGGUUGAUCUUUGCCCCCCACUAGAAGUUUGACUCAAUAACUUUUGCCCCCUACUAGUAAUCUGGCUCACUAUGUUAUCGUCGUUACAAUGUGCUAAAUUUUGUAUUUAUAUUACCGCAUAAACUUGUCGCAUGGCUAGACUGCCAUAGAGACACAACUCAAAAUAUCCAAAUAAAAAGGAGGUGAUGGUUUCAAGCCGUGGAAACAACUCUAGAAGAAAAUGUAGGGUAAGACCGUGUGUAAUAGUCUCUUGUGAUUCAAUCCUUUUCAAAACUCGCACAUACCGAUAGUUUUAGUGCACAAAACUGCCUUAUGCUUUUAUUUUUUUCCAUUAUAGUUUCUGUUAGCUUAAGUUGAAUUUUGUAUUCAACAAUAUUUGCAACUUCUUUUACUUCUACUUCAAAAUCCAUCAUUUCCCCCGAAACAUUGUGUUUCUCAAAGUUCUUGACGACUACUUCCAGGAAACUAAUUUUUUCAUGAAGAGCGCAAAGUUCUCAGUUUGGGAUCAGAGAUUGCAUCGGAGAAUUGGAUGUCAAGAGCGAUUCUAUUGUUCUCAUAAGAGAAGCCACACUUGCAUGAGCCAUAUCUACUGUAUUCUCGUUUUUGUCCUUUGUGAUUAUGACCUGAAAACUGCAGGUUGCGAGAUGUCAAUGGCAUAAACUAAAUAAGAUCAGGUAAUGCAUUUGCCUUAACCAUAGCUAUCAUUUAACGCGUGAAUUUAGUCCUAAACUCAGUAGCUUUAGCUCAUUUAACGCGUAAAAAUAAUUUUAACUCUCAGUACACAAAAGAGAUUGUGGUUCAAAACUCCGCUUUGCUUACUUAGGUAGUGUUUUCUAUGUUGUUGGGACUCUUUUAAAAAAUAGCCACACUAAAAAAUGCACAUCUUUUGAAGGAUCCAACAAGUAAUCAACGUUAUUUUUGAGGAGUUCGAGGAACAUAACUAUAUACAUAGUACAAAGAGUUAAGUUAUACAUUGACAAGCCACUACAAGUGUUGUUUUGCUCUUAAAACUUACAUUAAAUGAGAGAGUAAUUGACGGAAACUAACCUUUCAAAGGCAGAUUUUCUAAAACAGUAAGUAAGGUUUGGGUACACCCCACCCUCCCGAUACCCCACUUGUAGGAUUUUCUAACUUUACUAGAAAGUCGGACCAUAAAAUUAAAGGGACAUAAUUCAAAAGUCAUUCUUUACUUUCUUAAACUUCGUGCUUAGUCAAAAUAGGUCAUUUUUUUAAAAUGAAGGGAGAAACUUUUUUAUCCGAGAUGAUCAGCAGUAUCCUUAACAAAAAAUUACUGGGUGGCAGUACGUAUACUAAAUUGUUGAGGUUGAUUUUGCAGAUGGUCGCUCAACUAACAAUUUAUUAACCCAGAAAGAUAAGUAAUUAAGUGAAACUAACCUUUCAAUGGUAGAGAGUUGGGAAGAAGCAACUGGUCACUGCAACAAGAUACUAUGAGAAAAGAACAUAAAAAACACAAAUAUGAAUAUAUGAAAGAAAAGGUGUAAAACACAAAAGAUAUGCUAGCAAGUAAUCAAGAUUAAAAUCAAGAGAAAAAUCACAUACCUCUCUGAGUGAAUAAAAUGACAUUAUUUAUUUUUAGAUAAUCAAUUGAAUGCUAUUUUUUCAUAAAGGAAUGCUAAUUUUAAAUUAACUUGUAGAAAGAUUCUGAGGACCUGUUUGGAUUGGCUUAUUUUAAGUGUUUUAGCGCCAAAAUACUUUUGCAUUUCAAAUAGUUUUUUCUAUUUAACUAACCAUACAAACAUCUAAGCUCCAAAUAAGAGUAAAUUCAGCAAUACAUACAUUGCAAAAUGCUUUGCCUCACUUCAGUCGAAUGUGCCAGCUUGGCUGUGCAGUCUAAAGCUUUUGUGUCGGAUAGUAGAGAGGCAUCAUUAUCUUCAUUUUUCUCUCUUUAUUUAGUUUUAGAAGUGUCAUGCCAUUGAUGAUCCUUAGAGUCUUCGUGCUCCUGUCCCUUGUAAAAGAAAUCAACACGAUAUUUCUCUUAGAUCUCCCCAUCAUAAAGGUCAUCCUUUACCGGCUUAUCAUUUAACUUAGCCCUACAAUAGCAUAGCUUAAUGAUAUAUAUUUAAUUUCUUUCAGAUGGUGGGUGUCCCUAAAAUGAAGGAGAAAAUAGACGUAUUAACCCUUUAUACGCUCACAGAAUCAUAAUAUUAACAUCUCAUGGAAAAUCAUGCAUGUCUAAGAACCCUGAAGGUUGUUAUUAAAGUCAACUUCUCCCUGCAAGGUUGUUCUACUCUAGUUUAACGAUCUCCACCAACCAAUCCUACCCAAAGGUGAAAAAAGAAUAACAUGUAUAGAGGAAACUCGAUAUGGAAGGAUAAAGAGAUUUCCAAGGGGAAGUCUAUUGACAUACAAACACAAUUUGAUUCUUAUAGGCCCAUGUACCUAUGUAUAGCACGAGUGUAAAUAAGCUAAUUACUCUAGUAUUUCAGAUAAUAGCCUUGAAAUAUUCUAGCUGACAGAACUCUUGUAUCACGAAUCUGAUGAGCUGUCCUCCACAAUGACUUAACAGCUAUGCCUUGAAAAGAUAUGAAUGCCAAACACAUACAUGUAUGCAGGACUUCAGCAAACUAUCAAAAAAUAAGACUAAAAACAACCAGUUUCACCUCGUGAUUCAUUGAAACGGAAAAAAUGAAACAUUUGGCUGUAGUUACAAAACCCCACAUAUGAGACAAUAAAAAAAUCCUAUGACUUACUAACCAUCAUCUGUUUCCAACUCUAAUAGUGAAGAAUGUCACUGUUCACUCUUCUGUUCAUUCACCGCUCUAAAUUUCUCUCCCUGCCUGUCAAUCCCCAACACCCACAUAAAGCACUUGGAAAGCCAACAUUUGUAUUUACCUUAAAAUUUUUUAGUUUAAUACAUCUCGCAUAAGACAAAGUUGUCAAAAAAUUUAUAACUAAGUAAUCAAUAAGAAAUAUUUCAACUCUCUCAGUGCUUUCCCUUUUAUCUUUGGCCGAUAAUUUGACAACGUGUGACAGGGUAGCAUACCAUAUUAUUCUCAAAAUAGAAUCAUCAGACCUAGAAAGACGAACUUCAGAAGUCUGCAUAGGAAAAGUUUGACAUUCAGGUGGUUUGAAGUCAAAGACGGAACUCUUCUUUUCCUUAUUGAUCACUAUAACCCCACAAUCUUCUUUAUUCUAACACCCAAUAUAUCAACUACCCAUCAGAUCUUCUUUAAUCGAAAAAAUAUGACAUUUUGAGAACAUCGGUUGCACCUAAACUUUAAUUAAUAGCGAUGCAGUGCAAUGUUGACUCAGUAGAGUCUAAAUCUAUUUGGAAUUAAUUUCGUAUUGAGUAGUAUCUGUCACUAUCGAAAUCGGAACAGUAAAAAAAGUGCAAUAUCCACCGCCAUCUUGCAGAAAAGUACCCCUAAUGUAAAUCAACAUAUGCAUAAACAAAUCGCCAUUUCACAUGAUAAAAUUUCAGAAUCUAAAAGCUUGCAAAAUGCUAUCAAAAAUCCAAAUUUUUUGUUCAAAAUCAAUUCAUAAUUCAUAAUGUAAAAACUAAUUCGGAAACUACCGCUUACGCACAAUUGUUCCUUCUUCCUCGAGCCACUUACACUUAAAAACCAUGCAAUGAAGAUUUAUUCACCAUUACAUAACAAUUAAAUGGAUAAAAAUAUUAAACGACACAAAAUAUAUUUCACAAACUAAGUCAAAAGAAUCGUCAUUGUACUAUGAUUCAAUUUGAUGUAAUUAUACCAAAAGUAUAUUCAAAAACCAAAAUAGUGAAGACCAACAAUUGAUGUCAUAAAAAUCCCUUAAAGAAGUUAAAAAUUCUUGAAAAGAUGGAGAAAAAGAACUCCUGUCUUCCCAUGAAAAGAAAACCAUACAACUUUACGCACCUUUUGCAAUUUCAUCUUUUAUUUGAAUAAAUGUUGUUGGACAUUCUUCAAUCUGAUGCAUUUUCUUUCAAAUACUACAUCUCUAUUGUGAAUUGCAACUUGUGUUAUUGAGAUCUCCGUGCAGUCAAAGACUUCAAUAAUGGCAUAUAACUUUUUUUAUUUUUGGUCUUUUGCGUCUGGAUUUGCUGAUGAAUUUGCAGUAAAACUGCCUCUGGCAGUUUCCUCAAUUUGGAAAUUGUUAAUUUAAUUGAAAUUCAAAGGUGUGGCUGAAUCGUGGGUGGCUUACCAUAAAACAUUUGUCAAACUCAUUAAUAUAAUAUUUAAAAUUUAAAUUUUUGAAAAACAUGUGACAUUAAAGUAUCAGUAAAAUAAAGAAUUUAUUUUAAAAAUGUGUAAACAAAUUAAAAAUUAGUGGUAACUAACAAUUAACCUAACUAUAUUUUUUGGCCUAACUAAUUUCUUGUCUUAACAUGCCAAAUGUCUUUUUAUUAGAAUGACACUUGGCUUAUUGCGGGGGCUUUAUCCUCUCUUAUUAAUAAUAUAUAGAUUCGUGUUUUACGUAUCAUUUAUAAUUCGUUUGCCGGGCUUAAAUGAAGUUCAUUAGAUUAAUUUUGAAUUUUCAAUGAUAUACUUGUUAAAAUGAUUAGCGUUACAAGAUGUGGCAUUGUAUUUAAUUGACAUGCGAUUAGCGUGUAGUCGUGUUGUAAACCACAAUUCACGACGCAUGCAUGCAUACAUGCAAAAUAAAACAAAUUAAAAAAAAAAUGCAACAACCCACACAUAGAAAACGUGUUAGAGAAGGAAUAGAAAGAGAAGAAAUCCUUAGGUAAAGAACUCCUACUAUAAACUGGUGCGUAUAUGAAUAGUUGAAACUAAAGGGUAGAUAAUCUAUGUAAUUACGUGUUGAAAUUGCAUUAGGAUUUUGAAUGUGUUUUGAAGCAUAUAAAAUAUUACCUAGAUUUGUUUGAUUGUUAUCCGAUUAAAACAGAGACAUAAGUCAACAGAAUUCUUUAUCCGAAUUUUUAGUUCGCAAACCAAAAAUUAAGAGUCAUUUCCUUUUGAAUACAGAUUCAAUAAGGUGACUUAGAACACCCAAACUCAAUUCCAAGUGGUGACUCUAUAAAUAAAAUAAUCCUUAUUCAAAACGUCACUUUAAUUGGAAAAACCUAUAUUCUCAAAACCAACUCCCUAGCGGGGUGAGGGGUGUGACACUAUGUUAUCUCCGCUACCAUUUUGGCUGGAAAAUUGAGGGAUUCUUUGUUAAAUGGCCUUUUCAAGUUUUUUUUUAAUUAAAUAAACUACACCUCCUUUUUUUUUUUUUAGAAAAAUGAUCCAUUUUUUAGAAAAAUCUAUUAUCUAUCCGACCGAUAUAUAGACAGAUCAAUUAUCGAUCCAACAAAUCAGUUGUCGAUCCGACAAAUUGAUUAUCGAUCCGACCUAUAUAUGGACAGAUUGAUUAUCAAUCUGAUAGAUGAGAAAAUGGAAGUAGGCCAUUUUGUUAAUUGAAAACUUAAAGAGGCUUAAUAACCAAAUUUUCUCAAAAGUUGCCCUUAGUCAAUACGAUGGGGUCAUAGAUAAAUAUUUUUCUUUGGGUACCUAAAAGUGCAACAAAGAAGAAUGAGUCAGGAGCCUUAGCAUCAGGAUUUAGUCCAACUAAUGAUUAUACAUUAGUGGCCUAUAUAUGUUGUUCAAAAAUGUCAACAUUGUUCAAAAGUGUCAACAGGUGCAUGUUAGAUACUUUAAAAGUAGUAUAUUCUUGAAGAAUCCUACACAGAUGCAGCAACAUUAUGGAGAGUCCGAGCAACAUAGUUAGUGGCCUUAGAGUAGCACUAUGUGCCAAUUACUCCAUCUGUUCUCAUUUCUUCAAGGGACGUAUAUAUAAAUGACUUGAUAGAAAAAUUGAAUCUUAGUUCUCUUUCGUUUGCUUGCAGAUUCUGAGUUCAGGAACACAGGAUUAGAAAGGUCAGAGGUCUUAGAAAAAGAUUUGGAAUGGUUUAGGCAGCAAGGUCCACUACAAGAAAAAGGUCUAUUUAAGACCAACUUUUAGAGACGAGUCAAUAUUUUGGUCUCUAAAAGUAUCCUUAUUAGGACGAGAUUAAAUUCCGGUCGUUAAUACUAUAUUUUAUUGCGAAGGUAUAAAAUCCGAUCCCUAAUAUUUGUUUUAACUGGUCCCAAAUCUUAGUUAGGAGCUUUACCCUCCCUGAACCCCACUAUGUGGGAAUAUACUAGGUAUGUUGUUGUUGUUGUUGUUAUUAUAAUAACCCACAAUAUUAUCCAAAACAAGCCACAAUAUUGAUCGACGAUCUAUUCGGAAUAUAAUAAUUCAACCAUCUCUAAAUACGAAAACAAAAAAAUAGUCCAAAGUUAUAAAAUGAAAGAGCACCCAUGUCAAUAAUACAAAAUAUGUAAAAUUAUGUUAGGUAUUUAGAUUUUCUCGUAAUGAAAAAUUCCAAGUUACUACUCCCUCCAUUUCUUUUUAUUUGCUAAUUUUUUUUAGAGUCAAAAGAUACAAAUUUGAUCAAUAUUGUAAAACGUGUUUCUUAAUCAAAUUGAAAAAAAAAAUUAUAAUUUAUAAUACUUUUCAUAUAAUUUUUGAAUAUCUAAAUUUUAAUUCUAAAAAAUUAGAUUAAUCUAAUCAAAUAGAUAGAGAGGUCAUUUUUGAAUAUUUCUAAAUUACUAACCAAACAACCACAUUAAUGUUAUACUUGAACUACUGACCUGCUAACUAGCAACCAAACAUAACAUGUAUCUAGUUGAGUCAAAACAUCAUUGAGAUUUGCACCCAUACAACUAAAAAGAUUUCAGAAAGAUAUUCAUUAUUUAGUUGAGCACGCUUCUUGUCAAUCAUAUACAGAGUUGGCUCGUGUUUUCUGAAAGGCUACUAUAAUUUCAUGGAAUUUAUCCUUCGAGCAUCAUCUUUGUAGUAUCAAUCAAUAUUGGGCGAAGAUCACUAGAAGCGCGACCAAGGACAAUGUACACUUGUCCUCAAUGUUUUUUUUAAUAGUAAAAGUUUGGAUGAUUUCAUUCAGCAAGUACUAAACAACCAAAAUCUUUGAUUACAAAGAUCACACAUAGUAGCUAAACCUUAACUGCUGCUCUCCACCUACUACUAUUUGUUCAGAUUUUGAUCAAUUUAAGACAUCUCCAUGAAAUCCCUCUAUCAACUGCACUCAUUUUCUUCAAAUCAUUCAUUGGAAACCAACAGACAUAGUGGUUACUUUAUCACUACUAAAAAUUUGGCUAUUAAUUGUGAAGGUUAGCGAGGGACAAACUGUAUGUCACUGUUGGAAGGGACUUUGUGAUGUUGUCCCCCACACAAGUCAAAUAAGUUAAUUUUUAAUUUUUUUAGAAGGCAGAGAGGGACAUUCCCUCACUAAAAUAUGGUGAUAAUAAAAAUUUAAUUUUAAGUUUAUUAUAGCGAGAGAUUCUCCCUUACUAAAUAAUAACAAAUGAAUUCAUUUUUCAAAGAAAAUUGAAAUAUAACUUUUAUUAUUUUUUUGGCUGGUACCAAUAAUAUUUUAAUAAUAAAUAAAUAAAAAUAAAAUAUAAGUUAUCCAAAGAGUCCGUCGAUAUAAAACACAUACACACACACACUCUUCAAAAAAUAUUAUAAUUGAAUGAGUAGCUUAAAAAAGUGAUAAUUAGAAUAUUUUCGUGGUAUUCUUGAUAAAAAUUGACGAUAUAUUAGCUUACUAGUAUUGUCCGUAUUUAGCACGGACCCAAUAUUUAUAUGUUUUUAAAAAAAUUAUGUGACAAACUUUAUUUUUAAAAUUUUUUCUAAAAAACGUUAUUUUUUUAUUUUUUUUCUGUUUUUAGAAACAAUUUGUUUUGACAAUUUUCAUUAUCUUUUAAUGAAAUGUUUUACGACCACACAAUCCAAGGUUUAUUUAUCGCUGUUGACACCCAAUUUUGACCGCCCGAUACUCUUUUAGGCUGCUAUUUUUAGCGAAAUUAUUAAUUUCAAAUAUUAGUAUUUUUUGCACACUUUUUUUUUUUAUUAAAUAAUUUUGACAAACCACAUUCAUAAGUUAAAAAAUGUAUAAAUUAUUUUAUUACUUUUUAGUAUCAUUUUACAAUCUCAACAAGACAUAUUUUACGUAAAUGUGCACACUAAUAAUUUACAAAUACAUUGUCUAAUAUUUAUUAUUAUUAUUUACUAAUAUCAAUACUUGUUAUUUUUUUUAAUUAUUAUUAUUUAUUCAUUAUUUAUUGUUAUUGUUAUUAUUCCUACUAUUAUUUAAAUAACAGUCUAAAUUGAAAUCAUUUUGCCUAAUUUAUUUAUCUUUUAGCUCAAUUUUUAUUCAAGUCAUAACAAUUUUAGCCUAGUUAUAUUUAAUUUAUUACAAUUAUAGUCAAUUAUGGCUCAAUCUAAAGUUUUAUUCAAUUUUUAUGGUCAAAUUCUCAACUUGAAAUCUCAACCAUGGAUUGUAACUAAUCUGACGGCUGAGAUCAAGAUCCUAUUUUUUCCUUUUAAACUCAAAUUCUCAAACCUUAAUCUAUUGACAACAACCACAACCCUCUAAUAUCUCUCUCUAGACUCCUUCUCCCUUGUCUCUAAAAUUGUCCCUAAUCGACCGUCGCCGACGCCGCCAACAAUAACACCAGCGCCGCCAUGCUGCCAGCGACCAAAUCCCACCAUAUCCGGCCACCGUCCAACCGGAGAUAUCCUUCAGCCGCCACCUUUUAUGCCGUAGCCAUCGUGGAAUCACGCCGGUAGAGCAACCUACCCCGCAAACCUCAGCCGCCGCUUUUCUCUUCCCCUCCAGCGAACCAGCUCCAGCGCCGCUCCAACUUCGCCUCCCUCAACACUUCCGCCGGCGAAAUAAUCACCACAACAACCGAUGCUGACUACCAACGCUGUUCCCGAGCAAGUGCCAUCGAAAAUUUUCAAUACACGAUGGAUUCACGGAAUUCAUCUCGGGUUUGAUUUCGCGUUUAAGUUUUCAUUAAACAUCCUCAUCUUCUUUUGUCGUUAUUUUCUUUGAUUAUCAAAGUUGGAAUUAACGAUAGUUGAUUUUAAUCUUAAUUUGACUCUUUUUGUGUUUUCAUCUGCAUUUUUUGAUCAACAUGUGUUAAAAAGCCUAACUUGCGUAUGCUGUUAUAGCUUGUCUUAUUUUCAACUGCGAUCCGCCUCAAGUAAAGGAUUUUGGGAAAUUUUGACUUUUCUGUCUUCUGUCCUUUUGAAUUUCAAUCGUGAUAAAUGUCCUACAUAUUUCUUAGCUGUUUGGUAUGAUUUUGACUGGUCACUUGAUUUGUGCGGGCAUAUUUAAACCGUUUUGAUAUAAUUUGAACUGAUUGCUCGAUCCUUGUAAAUUUUUUGGUGAUCUGUCUUAUUAAUUCUGAUAACAAUAAUUAGUUUGGACUAAUUGUUUGACAAGCUGCUUGAUUUUGUGAAUUUGAACUGGUGGAUUUUUAUUAAUAACAAUUAGUUACGAAUUUUCAGUGUGAUUUUUAUUUUGAUAAGGAUUCAUUUCAGUUUCCUGAGAUAUGUAUUUGUGAUACCUUAUUUCAGAGAAUUUUCAGUUCAUUUUGUUGAUAUGUUAGUUAGUAGAUGCACUUUUCGUCUUUAACUUGUAGGUUGUUAGAUUUGCCUGUUUUUUCGACUUAGACUUCUUUUUGUGCUUUUGCUUCAAUGGUUUUGGUUUCUGUGUAAUAGUGAUCCAAAGUUUAUUGUUGUUUGAUGAAGUUUUGUUCUUUGCUAUGUACCUUUUUGUUUUCUUUAACUAUGUGGAUCAAUGGGUGCUGAAUUUAUUCGAAAAGGAUUCUUUUUGGUUUCUGAGAUGUUUUACUGCAAGAACUGAGGAUCUUUAUUUUGAAUUUUUCACUUGGUAACUAGCUAUAAAGUCUUGAUCUUUUUUUAUUUUUCUCAUUUUCGUGCUUUUGCUGCAAUGGUUUGUGUUUUUGUGUAGUAUUGAUCCAAGGUUUGUUGUCUCAGUUUCUUUUUAUUUGAUAAAGUUUUCAUCUUUUUGUGUGUACCCAUUUAUUUUAUUUAUCUUUGUGGAUCAAUGGGUUUGAUUUUAUUUGCAAAGGGUCCGUUUGUGUUUCACUAGAUGUGAUUUUGUGGUUCUUGUUUCGGAGAAUUUAGUUCAUUUUCUUAAUCUGUUUAUUCUAUUUUGAGCAAUAGAUAAGAUUACUUUUAAUUAGAGGUUAUGAGUUUAAGAUUGAAAAUAUAAGAAUGUUUUUGUGUGUAUAAUUGAUUUUAUUCUUAGUGCUUUUCCUGCUAUAACUCUCACUUUUACGAACCUGAAAACAUGGAUUUCCUUGGUUUAUUAGGAGGUUUACUUAAUGUGCUAAUUUUUUCUUAUGCUGUUGGCUUUUUGUACUUCUCUGCACUAUCUCAUUUUUCAAAAUAAAAUAAAAUUUGACCUUGCCCAAAAAAAGUAUUGUUGAACCUGAAUGUUUUUGAUGUGUGACUGCUUGAUGCUUUGGCCGAGAAACAUUUAGAACUGCUUGACCCAUAAUGAACUCCAAUGCUUAAUUCAACCUGAUUGUUCUUUCUUACCACAACAUGCUACUAUACUUAUUUAACGGGAUGAAAAUAGAUGAGUUGCCUUGAAGGAAAACAUUUAGAUUCCCUUUUGAUGAGAUAAUGGCUAAGCAUAUGUAUUAGUUUGGCUGUGCUUCAACAAUAUGAAUGAAACAUGAAACUUCACUUGAGUGAAAGAAAGCAAAUUAAUAGAUGAAUGCCCGAUUUCCUUGAGCAAGGUUUGUGCAUGAAAUAGUGAAGGUUUAUUUAGUAAUUUACGUUGUUUUUAUUUUAACUAUCAAAUCUGAAAGCAUCAUCAUCAAUCUUAAUUUUCUUCUCUUUUCCACAGGUAUAAAAGUGAGUUGAAUAAAGAUUAAUUGCAAGCUCAACACGUCAUUGGUAUUUUGGAAGAAACCUCUACAUAUCUGCCGUAGUUUAGGAUAGGAGUAAUAUUUAGUAUUAUAUUUAAGUUAGAUUUACUUUAUGUUGGACUUGUUUUACUUUUCUUUGCCCUGUGAAGAGAUAUUACCUUAGUAUAAUUUUAGUUUUUUUAAUUGUAUGAGUGUGUGUGAAUUUUAUCAAUAUGACAUGAUUUAUAAUUUUAUUUUUAAUUUAUUCAAUUCUAAUUUAAAAAAUAAUAUCAAUAUGAAAUAAUUAAAUGUUCUCUUGUAAUUGGUGACAAAAGAUUUUAUUUUCAA
RNAcentral lists this long non-coding RNA (75954 nucleotides) under Capsicum annuum. RNAcentral's name for it is "long non-coding RNA (CANN_LNC020415)". The record is from RNAcentral. Lineage: Eukaryota; Viridiplantae; Streptophyta; Magnoliopsida; Solanales; Solanaceae.